RNAcentral lists this long non-coding RNA (82536 nucleotides) under Ananas comosus (pineapple). RNAcentral's name for it is "long non-coding RNA (ACOM_LNC028942)". The record is from RNAcentral. Lineage: Eukaryota; Viridiplantae; Streptophyta; Magnoliopsida; Poales; Bromeliaceae.
UAAAAAAAAAAGUUGAAAGGAUCUUAUAUUAUAAUUUGAUGGUCUAUUUCCAAAUUGACUAUAAUUGAGAGAGCCUUCAAACAUUUUUCCUAAAAUAUUUUAAUAUUGCUAGUCCCAAUAUGUGGUUCCUAGAGCUUCCAAUUAUUGUCAUAAAUGCAUUCAAGCUCUUUGGCUCAACUUUUUUCUAAUUUCAACAAUACUUUUAGCUAUAGCACCUCUAGAAAUUUUGAAGAUUUAUAAAAUUCUAUUUAUAUGCAAAGGCAACUUCAAUAUGUAAUUUCUUCAAUGAUGUCUGAUAUUGGUCCAUUUCAGCUUUCGACUUUUGCACUUGAGCAUUCAAUACCUGGAAAGCUUGGGAUGGAGUUAUACUCUUGAGAUCCAUCAAAGUAUUCUAUAAUCAUAUAUUCUGUACAAUAAAUCCUUACAGGCAAAAAAGAAGUAUUAUAACAAAUAAAUAUGUUGGAUAAUAAGAAAGAUGAACAAACCUGAAAAUCUGCUAACUUUUUCAAAAUUGCAAUUCUCUCUCCAUGCAAAUUUUUAAUUUCAAGUAAUCGUUUUGAGUGUAAAUUCUGGUCAGAAAGGGAAAAAUAAUAAAAUUUUUGAGAAACUUAUUAAAAUGAAGCUGAAAGCAAAAAGACAAUAUUAAAAUAAUUAAAAAGUAAUUAACAGUGUAAAGAAAAUAUUUAAAUAAAUGAAAGGCGGUAAAAAGUAUUUGGAAUAUAUUUCGUUUGAUUUUAAUACUUAAGGUUUAUGAGAUUAAAACUACAUAUUUGGUUGCAAAAUGAGAAAAAAAAAAGAAAAGCAAAUUACGCAGUAGAGGAGGCAGCAGUAAUAGAAAUUUAAAUUUAAGUUACAGAAUCGGAAUAGUAACUAAAAAGUCAAAAAAAAAAAAAAAAUCAAUUUGAACAGAAGAAUAUUAUAAUACGUAAGUAGUUAAAAAGAAAAAAACGCUUAAGGUCUACCAGAAGAUGAAGCAGUAACAUUAGCAGAACCUGCAGCGGACAUUGAUGUAGGAAAAUAAGCAGCAGCAAGAACUGGAACACAAAGAGAAAUAGUACUAAUAGCAAAAGAGUGAGCAAAAAUAAAUGUAAAACAAAAGAAAAUUUAAGAUGUAGCAUAAUUUGGAGCAAUAUCAAUAGCAGCAAGAGCAGCAGGUGAAAAAAAAAAGUACAUAAGAAGAAGAAAAAGCAAUAGUAUUAGCAUAAUAAAAAUUUUUUAAAGUUAAAAAUAGCAUAAGAUGGAGCAAAAGAGGAAGAAGCAGUAUCAAUAUAACCAUAAAUUUCUCUUAUUUGAUGAAGUGGCUUAAAAUAUAUAAAAAACUCCUAUGUCAUAAGCUAAACUUAUAUUGGAAAGAAAAAUAGUUGGAAAUCAUAAUAAGAAAACGGCAAAACGGAAUUAAUAAGAUAGAACUACAUUAGGUUUCUUCAAAAUUUUACAUAAAUUACUAAAUUGAGUUGGCAGAAACACUAUUGGAAUUCAUAAGAAAAAGAAUAAGCAUAAUAGGUAGGAAACCAACCUGUAUGUCUAUUGCUCUGAUUAUCUUUCGGAGCGGCUUUCAUCUUUUGGCGAACUUAACCCCAUCUUUUAGCGAACUGUUUUAAACUACAUAAAUAUCAUAUUUAAAAUAUAGUACUAAAAGAUUAUGUAAUUAAGAAAUUAAACUUAAAAAAUAAGUUCUUUAAUUAAUUUAAAUAUAACAUAUUUAAAUUUUGAAGUGAAAAUAGUAAUGAUUGACUUAAACCAGACAAAGUGAAAUAUUAAGUAUUGAAAAACUUAAAAAACUUACCUCAUCAAAUAAAAAUUUGUUAUAAUUGAAAUAAGUUCUAUACUUCUUUAACUUUAAUUAUUUUAUAAAGUUUAAUCGCCUCAAUAAUUUACAUGAAUAUCUAUAUUUAAGUUGUAUGAAAUGAAAAUAAUUCAAAAUAAUGCACAUAAAUCAAAUCCUAGAUGGAUACAACUACUGCAUCAAUUAUGAAAUCAAACUAUCUGCAAAAUUAUUCCGAGUAAUACAAAUAAAUCAAAUCCUAAAUAGAUAUAUAGUAAAUAUUCGAAUUUUAAAAACAAAGAAAAGAAAAAUUAUAAUUAGGGUUUUCCGUUUCCAAUGCUUACCUCUCGAUUCUUACAUGAUCGUUUCCAAUUAGCUUCAUCUAUCGAAAAAUUGUUAGAUUAGCUUCUUCCAAAAGUUCAAAGAGAUUGAUGUAGAAAAAACCGUAGAAGCGAAUCGAGAUCGAGAAUGGAGAUAGAGCUUGGGCGACACCGAAAACAGAACGGUAGAAACGAUGAGGCGGAGAAGAGAAGGCGUAGGGGCGGGCGAUAUGGAAAAUGAGGAGGCGGGAGGUUAAAAUGAAAAAAAAAAAAAAAAAAAAAAAAAAAAAAAAAAAAAAAAAAAAAAAAAGAAAAUAACAUAAGAGGAAGGCGAGGGCGGAUAAGGUGAAAGAUUAUGGGAAGUAACCGGUUAAUCAAAGGGUGAGAAAUUAACCGAUUGAAUGGAGAAAAAGAAUAAGAAAUACUAUCUGGUGGGUCCACAAUUUACAAUCUAUAUCUAUACUCUAUACCUAAUAUCAUUAUUCCCAUGAAGUCUUGCCAGUGGCGGUCCCUCCUUUACCUUACCUUCUCUCUCUUCUCUAAUCACAACCCACACUUUCAUCUCCCCACCAAGGAUGGUUUACUAACCAUCAUUAACUUAAUAAUUACAAUCUUAAACCCACACUCUUCAUUCCCAACCAAGGAGUUACUAAGCAUCAUUAACUUUAAUAAUUACGAUGAUCCACACAAUUAGCACCACCAUAAACCCCAUCAUCAUUCAUCUCCUCAUUCUCCGAAACGCAAAUCCACACUCCAACAAUGUCCUAUGUUACAAACCAACUCUUCUUUCUAUUAUUCUUAUUAUUAUUCUCGAACGCGAGUACGAACCCGUCAACGCCAUUCGGGUCGAGCCAUGAUUGUUCGGGCGCGUUGUUUGGGUUCAGCGAAUGCUUGGAGUUUGUGGAGGGCGGGGCGAACGGGGCCGAAUCGGGAUUGCUGCUCUGGGCUCGGUCACGUGCUGAGCCGGAGCGUCACGUGCCUCUGCGAGGCCAUACGAGAAGGGGCAAGGCUAGGCGUACCCGUGAACGUCACCAAAGCUCUCGCUUUGCCCUCGCUUUGUGGGCUCUCCUACACACUAAUAGUCCCCUGUUACAAAAGUAAGAGGUGUAUUUUUUUUAUGGUCCAAUUUCAUAUAUACAAAUUGCUUUCAUAAGAAAAAAUAAGUAAAAUAAGAUUUCUUCGUACUCUUUUUUUUUUCAUUUUUUUGGUGCAUAAGAAUGUAAGGACUGAGAGUUUUCCAAUGCAACUAAACUCUCUGUUGAUGAUGUUUAUGUGUGUAAUUUAAUCACAUAAACACUCGUCAAUUUUCAGGAGAAAUUGAGAUAGAACGGAGAAGUUACGCGAUCUCCAAGUUUCACUUAAAGUGAAUAGUAACUCGGUUUUCCGGAGAAGCCAUGAUGUGAAGUUGGCUUCAGGCUUGUAUCGGACUCCGUUCAUAGCAAUCCAAUAGCUCGUUUCGACCGGUUCAGCUAUUCUGGAACCAAUGGCACUGACGGAUUUCAGAUCUGACGCACGACUUUCGAGAAAAAGGGAUUUUAUCGAAAAGAGGGUUUUCGCUCUUUGCUGUUCUUGCAUAUUGAGACUCCUCGUACUCUGUGUUUGUGACCUAGAGUAAGGUGAGGGAUGUUACAUGUACCUACUAGUGGUAGGAGAUUCAAAUUUAAAUUUGAAUCUAGGAUUUAGUGGGAUUACACAUUGGUAUAUGUGUGUGGUUUUUGGAAAUUGGAGAGCGGACGGGUUUCGUCGCGAAUCCGUGACCGAUUGAUGCGAACCAAAUCGUAGGUUUAUUGUCUCCGUUGUGCUGAUCGCACUAGUGCGAUCCGUUCGCAAAUCUGACAGACGGAUCUGUGGAUAUCGUACGUUGUUCGAGGAGGGGUCUUAGAUGGCAAAUUGGUAUUUUUGCGAAAGGUGCGACAUUUUAUGUACCGUUUCGCGUGAGAUCGCAUAUGGGGGUAUAUGCGCGCGUUUUACUCAUGCUGUGGUGGACCCAGUCCGAAAUUCUGAUUUUUGGUGGACUUAUUUGCAAUUCUGCACCAAGUAUUUAUGGUUGCAUUAGGGUUUUCCACUUGAAGCUCUAACCUAGCCCUAGCCACACCCCCCAGCCACCUUCACCCUGCUCCCCUGCCCUAGUCGCGUGCCUUCCGGUCGCCGCUGACCAAGUCCGGCCGGUCGGCCGCCACCACAUCACCAUUUUAUUCUCUCUCUCUCUCUCUCUCUCUCUCUCUCUCUCUCUCUCUCGGGUUGAGAGGAGGCCCGAGACUGGGUUGCCUCCAAGCUCUGCCCCAGCGUCGCCCUGACCCCAUCGGAGCUUCCCCUGGCCGGUCGCUGCCGCCUGCCGCCGUCGCCUGCGCCGCCGCUGCUAGUUCUGCAGCCUGCGGCCACCCCAGCUCGAGCUCAGGCUAAGGCUUGCGUGCGGCCUCCCCCUUGCGUCGCCGUCGCCCCGGGCCAACCCUGAGGCACCUCCUCGACCUUGGGUAGUCGACCGCCGCCGCCUCGAGUCGCCCGGAGCGCCGCCGGGGCUGCACCAACCGCCUGCUGCCUUCCAGACCGAGCCCGGGCUGAGGCAGGUCUGCGACCUCUUCCCCGCGUCACCACCACCUUGGGCCACCCCGUGGCACCUCCUCCGACCUCGGGUUGUCGGUCUCCGCCUCCCCGAGCCGUCCCAAGCGCCGCCGCCGCGCUGCAGCCGCCUGGCGGGUUCCCUGGGCAAGCUCGGUCCGAGCCGAGCUCGCAAUUCCUUCCCUGCGUCGCCGCCGCUCGGGGCCGCACCCGAGGUACUCCUCCGGCCUCUGGGGACCUGCCGCCGUCGUCCCUGAGCGCCCCGGACGCCGCCGUGGCCGCAACUGCCCUCGGAACCCAAGCCGGAUCUUGUGCGGGCUUGGUUCUCUCCUCCGCCGCCGCCGCCGCUUCUAGCCGCCACUUGAGGUGAGCACCGUAUUCCUCACCUCUCCCGCACCCAUCCCUGGCCCCUGUGCGCGCCUCCAUGCCGCCGAAAGCCGGCCGGAGCAAGCUUGCUCCGGCCAAGCCCGAAAUAGGGUUUUUAGGGAGUGGGUUGCCGUUUUGUGCUUUCCAGGGCUUCUCGACCUCUACGGAAGGGAGCACGAUGAUUGCAACUCAUCGCUGAUCACCGUGCUCACCUUGGUUUCUAUCGGAAAGGCCCCGAUCCAUUGUUUCGGUGAUGUUGCGCCGUUUGAGCCUUUUUGACUACUGUUUUUGGUUUGCGUGCAUUGUUCCGGCGAUCCGAGGCUGUCCUGAUGCCUCCGGAGGUGAGCAUGGUGAUUCUUGGUCAGUACCGAUCACAAUGCUCACCUUACUUUGGAUCAAGGAUGUCGUAUAGUCCUGUUUGGCACAGUUUUCCCCGACUUCGCGCUGUUUCGCUGAUAUUCGCGUCGCUCGUGCGCGUGCCACAGUGGCCGGCAGUGCUCCGAAAGGUGAGCACGGCCUCCGGCACGUCAAAACCUGUCAGUGGGUAUCUUGGCUUGGCUGAUCGACCACUGGUUUGCGUGGACGGACCAUAAAAGCGCCGAAAUCGCAUGAAAUAAUGCGAUUUCGGGUAAUCGGGAGGGCUUUUAUGUAUUUUAGGUUGUUGCGGUUGUUGUUGGCAGCAUGGAUGAGUUGUGGGUGACCUCUGGACUGAUUGUCCAUGGCCCUGGACCUUUGCGAAGAUCGAAAAUGCAUUUUCGGAGCAUUUUUCGGCGAAAUCCGCUGAUAGAACGCGUUUUCGAUUCGGAAUUCUUUCGACGGUACUUGGGGAUCAUUUGUUUCGUCGCUGACCCUUGUUGGCUGGUCGCCCGCGUCGUUUUGUGGGUUUGGAAAUGACAGGUGAGCGACGGUGAAGUUCCAAUGCGGUUUUCGGGACUUCCGGUUUGUUCGGUAAUCGGUUUUGGGAAACCGAUUAUCGUGGGUUUAUUUGUGGGGUUACGCUUUUAGGGUUUCUUAGUUGUGGGUUAGACACUAACCCAGUGGACCCUCCAUAGGUCCUGUUGACGUACUUUUGUAGUCAGGAGACAGGCGCGACAGUUAUACAGGUGGGUACUUCGAUCCGACGUCGGUACAGUGGUGCACGUUCGGUGAUGGUUUCUUACCUUUGCCCUCUUACUAUUAUCUGUGUGCUUAUACUAUAUGUUGAGCCUAGCAUCCACGUUGUUUGGUUAUACUCUACUCAGAUAUUUCCAUGCUUAGUAUCAUGUGUAGGAGUAUAGUCUAUCUGUAUUUGAUAUCAUGUUUUCUUGUUGCUCUACUUGCUUGUUUUACAUAUCUUAUAUCAUGUUUAUAGUAGAGCGGUUCCGUGACCAUCUGUGAAAUUAGUGACGUAGUCGGUCGAUUUUAGUAUCCCGUAAUUGUGACCUACUCGAUCAGUUCCUUGAUUUCUAUUAUUCGAUGACCUAUACGGUUGGUAUACCCUAAGGGGUGGGAUUGUCGGCUAGUUGUCGACGAAUGAUUAUAGUUUUCACAGAUCCGUCAUUAGACCCGUUGUGACCUAGUCUGUUCGUUCUGGAUUCUUGCCGUUUGAUGACCCACGAGGUCGGUGUACCCUGAGGGGUAGGAUUGUCAGCUAGUGGCUGACGGCAGUUCCAGAUUAUAGUGAUACAUAUCCUAUACUUGUGACAUGAUUGGUCGAGUUCAUAUCCUACACUUGUGACAUUAUUGGUCGAGUUUCAUAUCCUAUACUUGUGACAUGAUUGGUCGAGCUUCAUAUCCUAUAUUUAUGACCUGGUUGGUCGAGUUUCAUACGCUAUACUUGUUACCUGGUUGGUCGAUUUGGUUACAUGAUACCCAUACGGUCGAUGGGCCCUGGGGGGCAGGAUUGUCGGCUGGUUGCCGACGGUUGAUCAUUGAGCAUAUUGCAUUGAUCGCCCGAUACUCGUCGCAUUUCACGAACACUGGCGGUCUGAUCCACCGCAAGGAGUGUUCUUUUCCGGAAAAGUGGUUGAAUGGUGACAACCCGUGAGCCCUAGAGGGGUUAUAUGCACUGGAGAGUAGUAGUGGCAUUGGCUUGAGGUCUGCGGUGCUGACCAAGAGAGCAUUGGUUUUAGAUUGGGUACUUUUGGACUGAUUGUCCCGUUGAUGCAUACGUCUAUAGUAGCAGUUGUUGCAUGCAUACUUACAGUUCUUUCUAUAUACUUGUCUUGCUACUAUAGUUUGAUACCCAGGUAUGUUUUAUAUUCUUCUUACAGUAGCGAUAGUCGUUCUUAUACAUUCUGUUCAUGUAUUAUUGUUGCUACUGUAUUUAGUAUAUCUGCUCAUUACCUUAUACAUCUCUUUCGUUUACUAUUGUUCCUACUGUAUUUCCACUGACCCGUAUUGUUAUAUAGCUCUUCCUGAUCCGGUGAGUACUCCUCGCCUUCUUCGGCUUGCGGUACCCACUGGGAGGGGAGACAUGUUUACAUGUUCUCACCUCCCCCACUAUUUUUCAGGUAUCGUGGGCGGUGAGGGUUGAGACGAGACGUGAGAUACGUAGCGGUCGAUAGAGCUUCCAACCCAGGUUAUUUCGAUUUAGUUAUUACCCCUAUUAUUUCUGUUGAUGUAUAGUUUAGUUGGUUUAUGUGGUUCAGUAUUUCAUUACGUUAAAAUAAGAGGAUUUCUGGAUUUUGUAAAAUAAAAGAUUUUCUACCCCUCGUGGUAGCAUGUUUUAAAAAGAAAAGAUUUCCGUGUGGGAAACAACUUUCAAAAGAGUUUUCUCGUGGCUUCUAUGUUUAAACACUGAAUGGUAAAUAUCUGGUGAAUGGUGACUGAAUGUUGAGUAUUGUAUAUUCAUGUAUUGUGGUUGUAUCCUGGUUAUACUCUGUUUGUACUUUUGUACUUGUGCGAUGCCGUGCAAAUACAGGGAAGACUCUGUCCGUGUGAACAGUGAAUUUCCUGUAUUUGUGGCGGAUCUGGCAUACCCUGGGGUUAGGCUUAAAAAAAAAAAAAAGAAAAAAAGAAAAAAAGAAAAAAGAAGACGCUAUUCCGCUGUGUUUCAAACAAGAAAAAAAGGACCCCGGGGCGUGACAAAGAAUGGUUCAUAUUUUGUAAUUUUUUAAUUUUUUAAUUUUUGUUAUCUUUUUGUUUUUAAAUUGUAUGUGUACUGAAAUUAGGGUUUCGUGGAUUGUAGUGCAGCAUCGCGGGGGAAAGCGAAGAUAGAUUUGGAGUCAAUGAAAGGAAAGAAGUAGUAGGUUCGGAGAGAUCGGUAGGAAAUCAACGUGACUGUGACGAAAAAGGAGCUUAACGUUGAUAAUGGCGGCAAAGGUAAUAUGGAGAUGGGGAUUCGUCUCCCCGAUGUCGGUAGUGCGAUCAAGAUGCGUAUGGAGUAAUAAUUCUAUUGUUGCUUCUUUCAUUACUAUUUUUUAUAAUUUAUUUACUGAAAUUAUAAAUUUUGUUACAUUUGUACGUAUAUCAGUUUCAUCUCUUUUAUUUGUAUAUAUGUUAAUAUAUAUUAUCUUUAUUUAUUAAUGUCUUAUGGCAAUUCAAAAACUUUAAAAUUUUUACUUUGUAAAUCUUUUGUCUUCUAUAGCAUCAGCCCGCCGCAAUGCGCGGGUAACUUCACUAGUGCAGCUUAAUUAUGUGCUGACCGGUGGGGUCCACAUGCCCCUAAUUAAGCAUAAUCUGCCACGUGGACUUAUUAAUAUAAGUUAAUAGAUAUUAUAAAUUGUUAUAUAAAAUAGUAUAAAUAAUUUUUUAUAAAAUAUAUUGAUAUAAAUAAAUUAUUUUAUUUUUAAAAUAUUCAUGAAUAUUUCAAACGUAAAUUUAUAGUAGUUCUAAAUUUUUCCGGAAUAUGAGUGAGGCUGGUAUGCUUCUGGAAGUACGGAGCGUUUCGUAUUUCCAAGCCGUUUUUGAUGUCGUGACUUUUGAAUCGACGAUCUCUCCCGUUAGAUUUGAUCUAGAAUAUUUGAAGUAUCUAAAAAAUAAAUUUUAUAAUUUUUCGAUAUCAUUUGCCUAGUGAUCGAAGGAGCUCAAAAUCAAUCAUUUUAAUGGUCGUGUUAAGUCGUUUGCAAGUUUAACGGUGUAGAAAUAUCUAAAUUCUAUCAAAUUUUGAUAGAAAAUUCGUUAUACUAAUAUAAAAUAAGUUUAAUAUUUUUAAUCUAAAAUUUUAAUGUCAUAUCAUUAUAUUUUGUAAAUUUUUUAUUUUUAGUCGUUAAUUUUGAGUUCUUUAAUUACUAGACAAAUAAUAUUAAAAAAUUAAAAAAUUUAUUUUUUUAGCUACUUUUAAUUACUAUAAAUUAAUUUUAAUGGAGUGGAUCGUACGUUCGAAAGUCCUAACAUUAAAAACCGUGCUUCCUCCCGGAAUAUAAUCCCGUAAAUGAUAAUAGGAGCGUCAUUUGAUUCUCUUACAACAUAAUCUUGUAAUCUCUUCUUCUUCUUCUUCUUCUCUCUGGGCAUACUCCCCCACCCAUAGUUAUCAAAUGGUCUCCUUUUCUACUUCUUACUGCCUCCUCUCUCUUCUCUCUCCCUCUCCCUCCUCUCUCUCCUCCUCCUCCAUCUCCGCGAGGUCCCGAGCUCCGCCCAUGGCGACCUCUUCGUCCGCGGCGGCGCCUCCUCGUUUGGUCGUGGCAUGCUCCUCCCCUCCCCGCGCUGGCUCUUUUCCGGAGCCCCCCAAUUUAGGGUAAAGAUCGUCUCUUUCUGGGGAUUCCUAAAUGCCCUGGUUGUAGGAACGAGGUGAAACUGAGUGGCUGGAUGCCGUAGAGGUGUUUGAUGAAAUGUCGAGGAGGGCGUUGAUGUUUGAAUCUCUUAAAGGUGUUGAUUUGGAUCUUGAUUGGAGGGUUGAAAAAGAAGUGUAUUUUGAAGUUUGAUUAGUCCCAUUAGGGUAGGGUUAGGGUAGUGUUAUUAACCAAGCAACUUUUACUCUUUCUGGAGAUUUCUUGAACCUGGUUACCAGCUGAGUCGGUUUUGGAUUGGUAGUUGUAUGCCGUAGAGGUAUUUGAUAAAAUGUCCACGAGGGUGUUUAUGUUUGAAUCUCUUAAAGGUGUUGAUUUGGCUAGCACGAAAAAAAAAAAAAGUGUAUUAUCAACUUUGAUUAGACCCUUUAGGGUAGGGUGGUGUUAUUAACCAAGCAACUUUUACUGUUUUCGAAGAUUUGUUGAACCUGGUCAUUAACUGGUGUCUGGAUUUGACUAGAUUUGAUGAAUCUGGUCCAUGCACAGUAAAAAUGAUUCCUUUGUCCUUUGCGGCUUAUUUGGCCAGGCUGAAGCUUUUUAUGGAAAUAUUGUUUGAAUAAAACUGUUCAUCAAAUAUCUAUCAAUUUUUUUUACAUCCCUUUUAAUUUAGAUUCCUUUAACUGCUCUUCUGAAGUCAGAAACUGAAACUUUAGAUCAGAUUUUGGAUCGAAAAUCCCAUUUCAAUUUUAUGCUCAAGCCGUUUGCAUUAUAGUCCUAAAGUAAAAAGUAGUUAUCAUGUUUAUAUUUUAUGUUGCUUUGGAUAACUAUGUAGAUUUUUACUCCAAAGUUGCCUAAUAACAAUGUAAUGAGUUGUUCCAUGUAUUCAAUGCUGUGAACUAUCAGUUGUAUCUUAGGAUUUAUUAUAAUUCACUUUUGUGGUGAUAAUGAUACAAUAUAAAGCGUUAAUCGCAAAUUUAGUUCCCGAAUUUUGACUCAGAUUGCAAUUUAGUACUCAGAGUUUGUUGUUACAAUUUAAUUUAUGAAUUUUGAUGUAGAUUCAAUAUUGUUCCUAAUUUUGACCGAGACUUCACUUUUGUUCUCAAAGUUUCAGCUUUGAGAAAGAAAAGGUCUAAGGGUGGAACUGAUGUGUCACCUUUUAUUGAAAAUAGAUCAAUAGAAAAUGACUUUUCAUGCAAAACAAGCUAUGAGAAUUGAAACUAGAAGGAUGGCAUUGAAAUCAAGGCCAAACUUUAGAAAGUUAACAUGUAAGUAAAUCGAUUACUAAUUACCUAAAAAAAACUAUUACAAAUAAAUAGCAAAUUAACAAUCCCGCAUUUCUUAAUUAUUUUGUUAAUUUGUUUUUUCUUUGUCUGGUGUUGUUCCAAAUAGACCUCAAAGAGCAACUUUCUCUCAUUUUGGACUUUCGGCCAAUGAAGAUGCCAGGCUCAGGUCUUCAUAUAAAUGGCAGAGGGUUUUGCUGAAAGUCAGCGGUGAAGCGCUUGCUGGAGAUCACACGCAAAAUAUUGAUCCAACAGUAAGAAUGCUUACUUUCUUCCACUCUUAGUAACAAUGGAUCCUACUGCUACUCUGAUCUGUUUUGGGUCAAAAUAUAAGAGAAGAGAAACUACCAUUGAUUUAGUUGUUAGAGAAGAGUAACUUAUGUUGUUUUAUUUGUUCUCAUGCAUGGUCUUAAUCACAAGCAUGUAUAUAUGUAUAUUAUUCUUGUGGUCUACUAUUUGUGAUCCUACUAGAGAGGGCCUAGAGAAUUAAUAUAGACUGGAUAGUAAACUAAACGCCCUUUCCUCGAGUUUUAAAAUAAUUGGAAAAUCAUAUAUUUUAGGUCUCCUACAGAAUGAGUAAAUUAAGUUAGGUUUUUUUUAUCCUGGGUGUUAUCUGUAGGUUGUGAUUGUCACAUGGGGUAAAGUGCAAAUCUUGAUAUAUUUUAGGGGAUUAUUGAACGGGGUUAAAUACAACUGCUUCCUAGGUAUACAGAAUUGCUCCCUCUCUCUCUCUCUCUCUCUCUCUCUCUCUCUCUCUCUGGGUGGGAGGAUGGAGAUGGGAAGCUAAAUUUUAAAGCAUUUUCUUUUUGUUUAAUAUCCUAAAUUUUGAAAGUUUGGCUUUUAUGGGCAUUAUGGUAAUCCCAAUCUUGGUUAAAAUAAUUUCUAUAUAUUGAAUCAUUAGUGAGUCAAGUCUUGUACACGUAAAUUACAUGUAUUCAAGAAAUAGAGGUGGGUUUAUCAGCUUCUAAUUAUUUCCUUCUUGCAUUAGUACCAUCCACAUUUUCAUCCUGUCUUUGUGUGUUAUUGGGUGUUUGUUGUGCUUGAUGUUCUCUCUCUCUCUCUCUCUCUCUCUCUCUCUCUCUCUCUCUCUGUGACACACAUACAUGCACGCACAAAACACGCACGCACAAAACACGCACAUACACGGACAAACCAUUAUACAUGGUUUCGCCAUUCACGGUUAAUGCUUUGUCCUUUGUCUGCAGAUUACAAUGUCGAUUGCCAGAGAAGUUGCUUCCGUCACUAGACUUGGUAUAGAGGUGUGUCCUUCUUCAUAUUACAUUUAAUUGCACUUAUGUUUUAAUUGCUUAGUUAAUGGAUUUCAGUUCUGAGAUUGUAAUACAAAAGCAGCCUCAAUCAGAAAGGCAAUUCUCUGAGAUAAUGCAAUGUAUCUUGCUAAUCUCAGUAAAUGAUUCAUUCUCUGUGGCUUAACAAUACUUCAAAUCCAUCUCUAAUUAUGGAAUACAGAUUCAUUUUCCGGGGCAACUAUUUAUUUCUUGGUUAGUUAAUCUUGAAAGUCAAAGGAGGAUAGAGUAAACCUUUGUCCAAAUUUCUUUUGAAAAUUUAUCAACUCUUCCUCUAGAGUGAAGUGAGCUUAUGUUAAUGAUAUCUGACCUGAUUAGAUGCAAAAAUGAAUAAACGACGUAUUGUCCAAUUGAUAUGACAAAUGUCGAAAACUAUCUGUUUUGUUUUGAGGUUUUCGUGGAAUCUUAUUCUAUCUUUUUGUUCACUUAAUAGCUGUGAUUUUGAGAAUGUAAUAAAUGCUUAUUUAAUUCCUCAACAGAUGUGUGCUUUACAUUGCUUGUCCUGGACAUUUUUUUUUCAAAUUUCUGUGGAAAAUUGCUUAAAGUGUGCUCAGUUUUUAUUUAUUUGACUAUUGCCUGUAUAUAUUUAGAAAAGUCGUUGCUUGUUUAGAAUAAAAUUUGUUGGUAAUCAUGCCGACUGCUCUCAUAGAGUUUAUUGAUAAAGUGCGUGAACGUUUUUUAGGUUGCUGUUGUAGUCGGUGGUGGUAAUAUCUUCCGUGGAGCCUCUUGGGCUGGCUGUAGUGGUCUUGACCGUUCCUCAGCAGAUUACAUUGGGUAUGAAAAUUCAGCAUUUUUGUGCUUCUAUUAUUUAGUGAAUUACCUUUACAAUAUUUCAAGCCAACUUAUCUUUUGCCUUCAAAGCAAAUGACAAUGUUACGUCUCUAGCCCAUGCUGAGCUGUAGUGUAUUUGGAAAUGGGUACUUGAACCCCAAAUAUUUCGAUUUUACUACCUCACCUUUCUUUGCAUUUGAUUUCAGAAAAUUCUGUCAAGUUCUGUCACAGUUUAAAAGAGCAUUAUCUUAGGCACAAAAUAUUCCAUUAAAUUUUGACCGAGAGGUACUUAAAUGAAAUAUUUUAUAAUUUUAAAUAAUAAAAUUAAAUUUCUUAAAGUACAGUUGCCCAUUUCAUAUUUUUAUGCAUAGAUCUAAAUUUUAAAAUCUACUCUCAAAGCGCGAUGUCAUACAAGUAUAUUCCCGUACAAGUAUAUAACCUUACCGUGAAUUGGGCAGCCACCCGAUUCAUGGGGCUUUUGUAUCAGAAAAAGUUCUACUGAGAGGCACUUUUGUAAAUUCAAAAAUAAUAUACAUAAAAAAUUAUGUUCUGAAGGAUAUGUAUGAAAUUCAUAUUUGCAGUGAUAUAUAUGUAAAAACACAUUUCGUACGGAUUACGGAUGUAUAUGUAAAUAUCUCUUUAUGGUGUUUAAUAUUUUCCCUCAUUCAGUAUGCUAGCAACUGUGAUGAAUGCGAUAUUCCUGCAAGCAACAAUGGAGAGCAUUGGGAUUCCCACACGCGUCCAAACCGCGUUUCGCAUGUCAGAAGUCGCGGAGCCAUACAUAAGACGAAGGGCAAUAAGGCAUUUAGAGAAGGGUAGAGUUGUUAUAUUUGCUGCCGGAACAGGCAAUCCCUUCUUCACCACAGAUACUGCUGCUGCUCUCCGUUGCGCAGAGAGUAAGUAAAAUUAGCAAGUCUUUACUGAUUUUAGUUCCUAUAGUCUAACCUCGAUUUCGAUGUCAUCCUUGUUCUUUUCAAUUGUAAAUAUUUACUUCAGAAGUUUAACGGGCAAAGUGAUAAAUCCUGUAUACUGUCUGAAGAAGGCUUUGUUGCGUUAAAGUAGAAAAUAACACAAUCGAAUUUAGGUCAAACUCGAGGGGUAAAUCGUUAAAAUUGAAACUCUUGAGGAGAAAUUUGAAAUGGGAGCUGAACUUCAGCAACAAUUGAAACUCUUGAGUAGAAAAUUGAAAUCCGAGUUAAACUUUGGAACAAAGUUGUGAAUGUACAUGUCAAUGUUAAUUUCUACAUAGUGUCAGUUUGGCUAGCUUCUAAAAUAGUUGCGCUACUUCAAAAGUAGAGUGUUUGGCAAAUAGAAGUUCUGGAGCUUCCCGCUGGAGGUGGGAUGUCAAAAUGAGCUUUUCAGCCCUAAAACUCUAAAAAUUUCAUAGCUCUGGUUAGGACCAUCUGCUUCUAGCUCCGGUAGGAAUUAUCUGAGGGUUCUUAGUGAAAAAGGCACUAAUGCAGAAGCUGUACCCUAAGAGCAUUUCUGCAGAAGCUACAAACCGGCCAAACAGGUCCUUUCCUGGUCAAUUGUUUUAUUUGUUGAUCCAUAUAAGUGCAACCAAUUGAUAGUUCUUUGAUUUUAUUAACAUUUUAAGCUUAUUUGCUUAAUUGAAUAGGUUUUCAUUGCAGUCAGAAGAUAAUGGAACUUUUCCAACUUACGUGCUUAACAUGCUGCAACUACAACGGUGUUCAGAGAAAUUUGACUUGGUCUUUAUUUUUGUGCAUGAAUAUUCAGUUGGCGCAGAGGUCGUGCUUAAAGCAACAAAUGUAGAUGGUGUAUUCGAUGAAGAUCCCAAGCAUAACCCAAAUGCUCGCCUUCUCGAAACCCUAAGCUAUCAGGAGGUGACCACCAGAGAUCUCUCUGUAAUGGACAUGACUGCUAUUACCCUCUGCCAAGAGAAUAACAUUCCUGGUAUGACAACAUUAUACCUUUUAUUUUUCUUGGCUCAAUAGCAGGCAACCCCCCCUGUAAAUAUGGAAUUUCCAUUUUUUUUUUUUCCUGUGAACCCCUCAAACUUCAAUGUUUGGUCACCUCGCGCUAGGCAACAUCUGCAGGGUGUUUUUCCACAUUUCUGUAUUGAUAUUUUCAAGUUUGUUUGGCUUUCGCUUUCCAUACUAACCGCAAACAAUGCUGCAGUUGUUGUGUUCAACUUGAAUAAACCUGGAAAUAUUGCGAAAGCUAUCGUGGGCGAGAAGGUCGGCACAUUGAUCGGGGGCACCACAAGAAAUCUGCAGCUGCAGUAUGAAGGGAGUUUUUAAGAUCUUCAAAUGAGAGCCCCGUAAAUUCGAAAUUCAAGGUUUGUCAAAUUUUACAUAUUUUUUUUCCUGGUCUACAAGAUCAGAAUUUUAUUUGUUGUAUAUUUAUGUUGUAGAGGAUGACCUUGAUUGAUCAUAAGAGCUUCAAAGUCCUAAAGAAAAGAUUUUGCAGUAACCUUUUCAGAUUACAUUUUUAUCAUGUUGUUGCUGAUUUGGCUUCAUUGCUGAAACCCAAAUAUUGCAUCAAUUUUAACAAUGUCUUUUUACAUUGUACCAAAAUGUCUCAAAAACUUUAUAAUGGUAUUCAAAUUGAUGUUACCAACUGCUAGGCUUGUACUGGAUUGGUAAUUUUGCAACUUGAAUAAUCUGUAGUACUGGGGUUCUGGUAUUUGAAGAUUUUAGAAAUAAAAUUUCAUAUUUUUCCUCUAUUAUUACUUUAUGAUCAAAUUAUUUCAAAAGUUCCAAUUUUUAAUGACUAUUAUGACAAAUUCGAAGUUUAACGGUGUAGAUAAAUCUAAACUAAUCCAAAUUUUAAUGGAAAAUAUUGUAAACUAUCGAGAUUAAGAUCGACAUUCUUGAUCUUGAAUUUUAAAGUUCUAUUCUUAAUAUUUGAAGAUUGUUCAAUUUUUAUUGUUUCUUUUGACAUGAUUUGUUUAUUAAGGAAACAGCGUCACAAAAAAUAAAAUUUUAUUUGUAAAAGCAUUAUAUAUCCUAAGUUAUGCAUAAUGGUGUGGAUCGUUAAUGGUGUGGAUCGUUGAUUUGAGAAUAAAUUUUUUACAAUAUCUACGUGUAACAAACAAGUACAGGAAAGAACUAGUUAGAUAUCAAAGAAACUAAAGGGACAAAGAUCUGUGUUUGGAAAAAGCUAUUCAAAUUUGUAUUUAUGUGCUAAUUUAUUCCACUCACAUGAUUUUACUCUAUAAAAAUAAUUUUCUCCACCAUAUAGUUUGUAUGAAUUUUGUAUCUAAAUUUUGCAGUAGUGUUAACUGUUUUCAUCUUCCUUUUUUUUUUUUUUUUUUUGUGCAUGAGAGGUAAUUGAUAGAGACUAAAGUGGAAAAGAGUUUUUGUAGUAGUUUGGCAAAACCAAAAAUGGACUCUUUAUAAUAUUCUUUAAAGCUUUUAAAAAUUUUAAAUUUAAUUAUAUUUUUAAUUUUUUAGAACGACACGAAACGAUUUACCGCUUUCAGUAAGCACAUGCCUCACUAUUGCAUAAUUAAAAAAGGUAAACUUUAAUUUGCCCCAUGUCAUUUAGGGGUGUUUGGGUCGUUUAUUUUCGGUAUGAAAAAUAAUAUUUUCUUGCUUAUUUGGUUAUUUGUAGAAUAAUUUUUUCGUAAAAAUAUUAUUAUGGAUUUGAGAAAAAAAUUAAAGGCUAAAUUACAUAAAACCCUCCGUCAAAAUCCGAUUUUUCAUUUUCUUCCUCUGUUAUUUAAAAAUCUACACCUUCCCUCCUUGUAAAAUAAAAAAUGUUCACAGAGGGUACGGUGUGUACUGUGAUGAUAAAAUGACCAUUUUGCCCCUCACCAUUAUCGUCUCCUCCCUCAUCUUUCUCAACAGCAACAUCAAUCGGUCACGGUUUACGCCUCAAUAGGCUGCAGUUUCUCUCUAUUUUCUUCCCCACCUGCUCCCCUCUCUUCCUGCACUCUCGCCACCUCUCGAUUUCGGCGAUAGUAGGGUGGAAAUCGAGGUGGUGGUGGAUGGAGAGGUAGGUAACGGCAACGAGGGCGAAGGUGAGGUGGCGGAGGAGGGCGAAGGGGUGGUGCGGACGGGGAUGUGGGCGAGGGCGAGGGCGAGGCAACGGAGGAGGGCGAGGCGGCGAAGCAACAGGAAGAGGGCGGAGGGGUAUUUUUGGUAGAAGAAAAUAUUUUAUAACGGAAUCCUAACAGAUCACUAACGGUAGGGGGCAAAGUGCACAUUUUUUAUUUUACAAGGAGGCAAAGUGUAGUUUUUUAAAUGACAGGGGUGGAAAGUGAAAAAUCUCGUUUUGACAGGGGGGUUUUCUAUAAUUUAGCCAAAAUUAAAAUUUUCAUUUUUUGUUGUUUUUCAAAGAAAAACAAAAAUUCUAUGGAAUUAAUUUACUAUUAUACAAUAAUUUAUUUAUAAAUAUUAUAUUUAUAUAUGAUAUAAUAUAUUACAUGUGUUAUUAUCUAUUAUCUUAUAUAAAUAAAUUAUUAUAUUAUAUAUUAUAUAGAGUUGGGUUGGGAUGCUAUUGAUAGCAUCCAGCCAACUUUGCCACCUAUUUUAUAACCCUUGGAUCGCAUCGAGAUCCGUGCCACACCUUUAGUCAAAACUUGAGAAAAGCUCCAUUAGAUCCCCUCCGUUAUCUCUCUUUUUCUCUCUCUCUCUCUCUCUUUGUCUCUCUCUCUCUCUCUCUCUUCUUUUCUUUUUUCUUUUCCUUUCUUCUCCACAGACCUCACCUCCCGCCAAACCUCCCUCCUCCACAGCAUGCCCACCUCCCACCUCGCCCACUCGCCCCCUCGCCGCAGUUUUCGCCCGCCCGCUUGCUCUCUCACUUUCUCUCUUUCUUCUUUUCUUUUUCUUUUUCCUUUCUUCUCCACAGAGCUUACCACCAAACCCUCCCUCCUCCACACCCCGCCCACCUCCCAUCUCGCCCACCUCGCCCACUCGUCCCCUCGCUUGCUCGCUCGCUUGCUGGCUCGCUCACCCCCUUGCCUACUUCUCAGGUUUGAUUCUUUGUUUUAUUUUUUUUAGUUGUUUGGUGAAUAAAUUAUAGGAAAAAAAUAUUAUUUGGUGAAACAAAUUACAGGAAAAAAAAUAUUGUUCUGUGUUUAAAAAAUCUGAAAAAAAAAUCUGAUUUUAUUAUACAAAAUUUGAAUUUAUUAUAAAAUCUGAUUUUAUUAUACAAAAUCUGAUUUUAUUAUUCUAGCAUCUAUUUUAUUAAUCUCUUGGCUACUUGCAAUUCUUGUCCUUAGAACUAUUGAUAUUGAGUAAGUGAUUACACAGGCUCUGAUUCUAUGAAAGAAAAGAUAGUGUACGGAAUUCAUGUGUAUUAGCAUUCUUUGAUGAUUUUUUUCUAUGCACAGAGAAGGUUGCUCUUCUUAUUUUUUAACUACAUUUCUGCAAUUUUGAAUGAGAGUUUUUAAGUGUUUAAUGUUUUGAGUUCAGUGAUUUAGACUACUGAAAUCUACAGUUGGUAAAUAUCAUGCUUCUUACUAAUUUUUAUUUUUAUUUUUAUUUUUUCUGAAGGUUGGAGUCAAAUGGAUUAGAUAAUAAUGUUGAGAUAGGUGAAGUCUGUCUCAAAUGGUCUGUCACAGUAAACUGAAAAGGAUGGUGCUACAUAUACUACAAAAGGCCAAGAAGAGACAGAUAGCUCAAGUGACUCUGUAUGAAGAUAAACUUGUAACAUGCGUAAACAAUGGCUGAACUAGGCUUCUUGUUUGUAGUAUGUAUUUUGCUAGUAAUAACUCUGAAAUGAUACUUAUUAUCCAGAUAGUUUAACUUGUAGAAUGUUCAAGUGAUCUGGAUGAUUUAACUUAUUGUAGAAUGUUUAUCAUCGACAGGUAUUUGUUGCUUUCUGCUGUCUCCUUUUCCACUGUUGUUAAAAUUUGGUGCUCUGCUUCAUGCUAUAGUGUUUCAUUUGCUUUGUGUAACUCUGCUCAUACUGACUUCUCUAGAACUUCUGGAUGGACCAAAUUAACUUUGCCCUUAAUAGGCACCAAAAGUACCAUAGAAUGUUUGAAUAUUUGGUUUUAUUAUUAGGAAUACUGAUUUGAAGAAUUUUUUUUUUCAAACUGUGGAGUUUUUAAGCUGCAAAUGACUCGCAACCAGCUAUAGUUAGGCUAUGUGUGGAUUAUUGCAUUUGUGGAUUAUUGCAUUUAUUCUGAUUUGGAGUUUUUUUUUUCAAACUGUGGAGUUUUUCAAACUGUACCAUAUAAUGUUUGAAUUUUUUUUUCAAACUGUGGAGUUUUCAAACUGUGGAGUUUAUUCUUACCUAUAAUUAAGCAGGCCUAUCAUGAUAAUGUGGACAACAGAUCUAUUCUUUAAAAAUAGUGGCCUAUCCUGACCUGUGAGAUGGCUACUUGACAAAUUGGUAUUUAGUGUAGAACACAAUCAAAUUAAAGAUAUAAAAUCAUACAACACAAUCAAAUUAAAGAUAUAAAUUCAUUAAUUAAAAAUAGUGGUUACAAACAUAGUUCAAAUAGCCUUUAGUUACAUUAAAAUCUUCACAUACAUCAUUGCGACGAAGACAAACAGUACAACCAAAUACAACUUUAUCUUAAAAAUUCUUCUAUCUGUAAACUAAGAAGCAGUAAUUUAAUUACUAUUUUAUACGAAACCACAUUUAUAUUAAACAAGGAUCAUGGAACAAGGAUGACAUUAUGCUCAAUCUCCACCAAAGGGGCAGAAUCAGGCAGUUCUGCUAUGUCUGACCAAGAAGCUGCCGCCCUAUAAACCAAUUCAAACGGAGAAGCUAAGCAAGUCGAAACCGGUUUGAAUGGCAAUAAUUCCAUGCAUUCGGAAAAUGAGAAACAAACUGAUCUUGGGAAGCCCCCUAGGGAUGAAAGUGUGGAAGAAAACUGCGACGAGGAAUUAGGCAAGUGCUUCGAACUUGUGUCCUGAUAUAAAAAAAUCAGAUUUUAUAAUAAAAUCAGAUUUUAUAAUAAAUUCAGAUUUUGUAAUAAAAUCAUAUUUUAUAAUAAAUUCAGAUUUUUGAAAAUCAGAUUUUAUAAUAAAUUCAGAUUUUGUAUAAUAAAAUCAUUUUUUUUUCAGAUUUUUUAAAAACAGAACAACAUUUUUUUUUCUGUAAUUUGUUUCACCAAAUAAUAUUUUUUUCCUAUAAUUUAUUCACCAAACAACUAAAAAAAAGAAGAAAGAAUCAAACCUAAGAAGUAGGCGAGGGGGCGAGCGAGCCAGCAAGCGAGCGAGCAGGCGAGGGGGCGAGUUGGCGAGGUGGGCGAGAUGGGAGGUGGGCGGGGUGUGGAGGAGGGAGGAUUUGGUGGUAAGCUCUGUGGAGAAGAAAGGAAAAAGAAAAAGAAAAGAAGAAAGAGAGAAAGUGAGAGAGCAAGCGGGCGGGCGAAAACUGCGGCGAAGGGGCGAGUGGGCGAGGUGGGAGGUGGGCGUGCUGUGGAGGAGGGAGGGUUUGGUGGGAGGUGAGGUCUGUGGAGAAGAAAGGAAAAGAAAAAAGAAAAGAAGAGAGAGAGAGAGAGAGAGAGAGAGAGAGAGAGAAGAAAGAGGGAUAACGGAGGGGAUCUAACGGAGCUUUUCCUAAGUUUUCACUAAAAGGGCUGCACGGAUCUCGAUGCGAUCCAAGGGUUACAAAAUGGGUAGCAAAGUUGGUUGGGUGCUAUCAAUAGCAUCCCAGCCCAACUCAUAUUACAUAUAUUAUAAUAUAAUAUAAUUUUGAAUGUAUAAGUAUAAUUUGGAAUAUAUUUAAAUUAUAAAUAUAGAUGAUGAUGUUGAUUCACUUAAAGCCUACAAACAUAGUGUCAACGGGUUUCAAUUGAGACUCGGCUCAACCAUUCAUAUGCCACUUUGAAUAUGACUCGACUCAAUCUGACUUCCCGUCAUUUCGAACUUGUUACAGACCAACCCGGCCUCCCGGCCCAUCCUGGUCUCUCACAACAUGGCAGGAUAUUGGUCCAUUUAAGCAUACAAUAAUAAUAAUAUAUAUAGAUAUAGAUAUAAAUUUUAAUUGUAAUAUAUAUAAUAUGAUAGUUAUUUAUAUAAAUAAUACAUAACAUAUAAUACAAAGAAAUUAUAUAAAAUUAUUUUCAUUCAAAAUUUUCCUUUCAACCAAAUAACUGUGGCUGAAAUUUUUUUUCUUCCUAUAAACCAAACGUUAAAAAAUGUAAAAAAAUUUCACGAAAUACUCUUUACCACUGAGGAUUAUUUUUCAUACUUUUACGUUAAAUCAAACCAACUCUUAGCUUAAUUUUAUUUUGCUAUCAUGUUUUUUCAAAAAAGUUGUACCUAAAUACUCUAAUUAUUUAGCUCAUUUUUACUUUGUUAUCCUCCGGUUAAAAAAAUAUUGCACGUACUAUUCUAUGAUUGUUAAAAAAUUUUAAUUUAUUAUUCUAUUGGAUACUAGAUUUUUUUUGAUAAAAUAAAGAUAAAAUUACAGAAUAAUUAAGCGUAAUUUUUUGAACCAUAGAGUGGUAAAAUAACAACGAGCUUAACCAUCAGGAGGUAAAUUGAAGUUUACACUAAAAAAAUUAAUAAUUGGAAUAUGUAGACUUUAAAAUAUUAUAUGUAUUCUAGUAAACUUGAAAAUUUGCAAAUUUAUCAUUUGGAGCAGUAAUAAGGAGUCGGCGAUUUAAUCACGAUCACUUUAUAUACUUGUUUUGGUUCUGAGAUGGUCUUCCUUAUAGCAGUGGUACUAUUUUACUGUAUCUUAAGCUAAUCAAGUUCCUCGUUUUGAGAAAAAAGUAUAAUAAUUUUUUUCUAAAAAUAUUUAUGAUUGGAUUGGUAAAUUCCAGGCAAAUUUGAUUAGUUGGAAACCACAAAAUAAUGUGGUACUGCUGCUUCAUUUUAGAAAUUUUCUUCUGAUUUCUUCUAUCUUGUUUAGAUAACAUAGAAGAUUAAAAGGCGUGUGGAUAGGACCAUUUUUUUAAAAAAGAAAGUUUAUAAAUGACAGUUUUUGACUAGUUCAAAAAUAUAUUUGAAUGUUUUUAAAAUUUACAAGUAUAUAUACAAAAGUUUAAAAGAAUAUAUAUGCAAAAUCCUAACUUUGUUAGUAUAUACUUUUAAGUAAAUAGUUAGCUCCUAAAGAGUUAUAUAGUUGAGGGAGUUACUUCAGAAUAAAUUGUAAGUUAAAUUACAAAAAAUCUUCCUGUCAAAACUUGCUCUUUCAUUUUCUUCUUGUCAUUUAAAAAUCUAUAAUUUGCCUCCUUAAAAAAUAAAAAAUAUUCACAGGAGGGUGCACUAUGAUAAAAUAACCACCCCUCAUCCUUUUCAUCUCCUCCCCAAUCCAAAACUUCUCCUCCGUUCUUCGCGCCUCCUUCAAUCCCAGCCCUGACUCCAUUUCCUCCACUUGCUCCCCCACUCCUUUAGCACUCUCACCGUCCCUCCGUUUUGGUGAUUACAGGGAGAAAGAUCGGGGUGGACGUGGAUGGAGAGGUGGGCAAGUGUGAGAGUGAGGCGGCGGAGGAGGCGAGGGCAUGUGUGUGGGCAUAGACAGAGGGGUGGGUAAGGGCGAGGUAGCGAAGAGCGAGGCGGCGACCGAGGACGUCGGUGAGGAAGAAUGAGAAUUUCAGGAGUAUUUUGGGUAUAAAAAAUAGGAUAUAAACGAGAACUCUAACGGAACACUGAUGAUGGGGGCCGAAGUGAAUUUUUUAUUUUUUAAGGGAACAAAGUGCGGAUUUUUAAAAGAUCGGGAGGAAAGUGAAAAAGCAAGUAUUGAGAGGAGGAGAUUGUCUGUAAUUUAGCCUAAAUUAUAGUUUGGAUUCUUGAAUCAAAGAUAUAAGAUGUACAUCCCAUAUAAGGAGUAGGGAUCUCAGCGAAUCAUAUUCGCGGUGGAUUUUUUAAAACCUGAAUCCGAACUCGACAAUCAAAUUCGAACUCCGAACCUGGACCUGAGCCCAAUGGGUUUUGAAAAUCAACAUCCAAAACCGAACCCAAUCGAAAAAUCAAAAUCGGAACCUGAAACAAUCACUUUCUUUCCCACAUUUCAAAACAUAUUAAAAUCUAAAAUUUUCAAAAUAUAAAUUCAAAUUUAAUAUCUAACAUUCAUAUAUAUUAUAUAAUUUAAAAUCUAUUCGGGUUCGGAUCGGGUUUAAGUCGAGCCAGGUACUAACAAUAUCCAUACCCGAACUUGAAUUUGUCGAAUUUUUAUUUUGUAGAUCCGUGUCCGAAACCAUAUCCGUUUAGUAUCGGAUAAAUCUACCCUGUUUAGCUAUGUUAAUGAAAGAGGCAAAGUGCAUAAAGACUCAUAACUUUCUAUUGUUUUAAAACAAACCACUAAACCUUUUAUUUUGAAAAUUAGACUCUCUAAAUUUUUCUAGAUGGUUUUAGAUAGACAGCGUAGGGGAUUCUUUUUUUUUUUUUUUUUUUUUUUUUUUUUUGGGAGGAGAAACACGCCCUAAGGCGAAUUUAUUUAUCAAUCGGUAGGUACAACUUGAGAGAAUUCAUCUACAGAGGACCAAAAAGACAGUUUGUUGCUAGAGAGCCCCCAGUUGGCCAAUCGAUCUGCAACUACAAUAUUUUUAGAAUAUCUUGAAGACCAUCCAUAGCUAAAUUGCUUGGAGCUUUCAAGAAAAUUCUGAAGAACCGUGAUUCUUGUUCGAGCUUCAUCUGUUAGCGAAUCUGAAUGAUAGCUCCUAAGGUGCAAGGCUUUGAUGAUGGGUGCUGAAUCUGAGUAGAUAUGAUAAGUUUCUCCCGGAUACCUUUGCAACAAAAGAUUUGUCGCUCGGAAAAUUGCUCCAAUUUUCGCUGAGCAGGCGUCAUGGACGUCCUUCAGUACAUCAGAUAUGCACAUAAUGAUUCCAUGUUGAUUGGCGAUUAGGCAUCCGACACCACCUGUAGUACCACCUUUCCAACUCCCAUCCCCCCAUACUUGUAAGGAAAAGGUCGCAAGUUCUUGAAUCAGAGUUGGGUCCUGAAUGCUAAUUCCUCAUCAUGUUCUCUUUAGAAUAUAAGGUCGUCCAGCUGCGAGCCCGUGAAAUGAUGGCAGUGAUAUUGAAAUUUUUUCCUUCAAAAAUCAUCUCAUUCCUUCCUUUCCAUAAGCUCCAUAAUAGAUGAACACAGAAAGCCCUAUAAGUCGCCAUGUCUUUAUUAGUUAGGAUAAAGAAAAUCCAAAAGGACAGAGGCCUAUCCGCAUUAUCAAUUACAAGGCCUAUACUGAUGCAAACAGACAUGUCGUGUUUGCUCACAAUUAAAAAAUAAAUGUACCAACGUCUCAGGCUCUUGUAGGCAAGCGGGCAGAGUCCAUUAAAGUUAGGCAGUCUCGAGGCUAGUGCGGCUCCAACUGGUAACGUGUCUGCUACUAGUCUCCAGAAAAAUACUUUAGCUCGGGGCAUCACAUUCUUUAUGCCCCAAAUUUUUCCCCAGAUAGUAUGCUGGUUUUCAUAUGGCUGAUGCAAUUGGCUAUGAUCCAGACCAUCGUUUAAAUGAUUGAUAGCAGAUCGCAGGGUGAAGCGGCCAGAUUCGGAGAAGUUCCAUCGUAGUUGUUCAGAAUUUUGGACCACAGCAUUCGCCAUGAAAUUACGGAUUUGUAACAUAGAGCGCCAAAUAGGUGAAACUACAGGUCUGUUUUGAGCCGACCAGAAGCUGAGAUUGUUAGCCCGAUUGUACUUGUUCACCAGAACCUGUGCCCAUAAUGAUGUUGGCCUAGUGAGGAGCGACCACACCAAUUUGCAUACUAGGGCGCGAUUAAGGGUUGACAGGGAUGGUAUACCAAUCCCCCGAGUUCCCUGUUUGUAGUUAGUUUUGUCCAUGCCUUUGGGUAAUAAUGGUGACCGCCUGGCUUGAAGCCCCACCAGAAAUCUCGAAUAAUUUUUUCCAUCUGGUGAAGAAAUUUUGCAGGAAGUAGAAUGAAACAAAUAGAGUAUCGAGGUACCGCUAGGAGCACCGAUUGUAUAAGAGUGAGACGCCCCGCAUGCGAUAGAUUUCUAGCUUUUCAUCUAGCUAAUCUGCUUUGCAAUUUAUCAAUGAUGAAACUGAAGGUGUUGGUUAGGGACCGUUCCAAAAAUAGCGGAUUGCCUAAGUAUCUUCCUUGUCCUUGGUGCGCUGCGAUGUUGAGAAUUUGUUGGAUACUCUCACGUAUUGCAGAUGUAGUGCUGUGGCUGAAUAUUAUCGACGAUUUUUGGAGAUUUAUAGUCUCCCCAGAUAUGGUACAGAAAAUAUUGAGGAUUUCUUGAAUUCGGAGGGCCUCAUUCUGGGAGGAUUUUCCGAAGAUAAAGAGGUCGUCAGCAUACAUAACGUGUGUUAUAGCCGGUCCCGUUCGUAAAAACCUGAAGCCAUUUAGUGAGCCGCAAAGGGCAGCUUCCUCCAAGAACAGUGAAAGUGCAUUAGAAGCUAAGAUAAAAAUAUACGGAGAGAGGGCAGUUUACUAUUUUUUUUUUUUACUUAAUUAGUUUAAUUUUAUAGCUCUUUAUUCUUAUAUUUUUAAAAAAUAUAAGUAUUUAUGCUAACAGCGUAAAUCUUGAGACAAAAAAAAAACUUAAUUUAAUAGCCGAAUUUUUUAUCCCGAAUUUUUAAUUGAUGAACGUAUAAUAUCCGUAUAAAUCACGUAUCCGAAUAAUCGGCGAAUCCGUUUUUUAGCCCUUUUUUUCAACGAAUUUAAAAAUUAGAAGGCGAAUUUUAUCUGAAUUAUAUCCCUACCGAAUUUUUGCCGAAUCCGAAUUAACUAACUAUGUUACAUAUUUCUCAAGUUUUAAGGGGUAUUUUAGACAUUGUCUCAAAUCUUCAAUUCGGUAUUUUAGACAUUGUCUCAAAUUCGGCUGGUCAAAAAGGGAGGGAAAGGAGAGCGGGAAAAGAAAAAGGCCCCAACAAAAAAAAAAAAAAAAAGAAAAAAAAUAGAGCUUUUCGAGGAGCCAAGAGCUCGACGAAGACGACGACGACGCUGCGGCGGCGCCGCCUCUCUCCGCCGCCGCGAUGCCGCAGCCGAAGAUCAGCGCCUUCUUCAAGCCCGCCGCCGAUCUCGCCAUUAACGACCUCAGCAUCCGAUCCCAUAAGGUACCUCCUUUUCCGUUUCUUUUCCUACUCUUAAUCUGUAUGUUUUCACUAGAUUUUAUAGUUUAGGUGUUAUUCAACACAUGGAAUCUUAGUUUAAGUGCCUCCGAUCGAAACCCCCCCUCGAUGUCGUAGUUUUCUUAGAUUGAAUCGAUCAAAAUGAUGGAGAAAUGGGCAUGUUUUGCUCAAAAACUGGGUUUAAAAAAAAAUUAUGAUGGGUACUGCAGCUGCUACCGCGACGGGGAGAAGGGGAAUGAUAAGGGAUCGGAAAUUGCCGCAAAGGUUAUUAAUAAGAAGCGGAGCUACGCGCAGUACCAUUUGGAAUUGGGGCAAUCCGAUUUCGUCCUGCACAGUUGCGCCGUUUGCGGGAUGAUGUACGCGCGCGGGGAUCAAGAGGACGAGAAGACUCACAAAGCAUUUCAUAAGAACUACUGUGAGGGAAUCCCGUUCAAGGUGUUUGUUGAAAUGCCAAUGCGUCAAUUUUGUGCAAUUCGUGUUUACUUUUUCGGCUUAAUUAUAAAAACUCCCCAUGCACUUAAAAAAAUUUAAACAGUCUCAACCCUGCACUUUAGCUUGUGUCAAAUAGGUCCAAUAAUUUUGGGAUUCUGUUAACUUUUGAUGGAAGUGUUAGCGGUGAUGACGUGGCAAAAUUGUUUGCCAUUGAAAAUGCUUAAUUCUCGCAUGUGAAUGCUUUUUCGUGGUUCCUCUUGGGCUUUGAUUUUUGAAGGUGUGCUUGAAGGAGCUUAAAUGGGCUUAAAAAUGUGCUAUCUCAUCAUGUCGCCGUUUAAAUUAACGCAAAAGCCUAAUAGAAGGGCCUAUUUUAUACAGAACUAAAGUGCAGGGUUGGCAUUGUUUAAAUUUUUAUGCAGGGAGAUGUUUGAGACAUGGGGGUGAAAUGCUAGGUUUUUUUUCUUUUUAAUAAUUAAGCCUUUUUUUUUUUCUGUAAAAUGCAUGUAUAGUCAUUGUACUUUCCCAAUGUUGUUACCUGUUCGCCAAAUUUUUCCAGGUGUUCCAUCCCUUGUUGCUAAUCAGACCCGACGGAUGUUAAUUAUUUUCUCAGCACAUGCCGGUUUUCUGCAAAAUGACCAUUUUACUGCCUCUGUAAAAGGAUUUCUUGUUUCAUUUGAUUUUCGAAAUUGACUUGAUGGAUGUCAGGAAUUUUAAUGGCCAGGAUGUGAUUGCGGCAUGUUGCGAUGUACAAAGCUUAAAAUGUUUUAAUGAAAGUUCAAGAAAACUAUGUCCCAAUACCACAAAAGUACAAGAACUAUCCAUACAUCUGUUUCCCUUUUCGUUCGUGCUGUGAUACUUACUUGAAGUUGCAGGGUUGGCGCAAUGAGAGGGCGGUCGUGACUAGCAGUAAUGGAGACCGCAUAUUAUUGGUGAUAGAUGAGGAUUCUUCUGCUCAAAAGAACAAGGUUUAUCUCGAUGUCACACAUUCUAGUCCUUGAACUUUAAUGAAGUGCGCCUUUCCAGUAAUUGCGAAUAAAAAAUUGGAGGCAUAUUUCAGGAAUGAAACCGCAAUUUGUCAAAAGUUCAUGAACUACAGUCCCUGGAGAAACUCCCAUAGUUUUCUUUGUCAAGUUGCUUUCAUAGUUAAAUAAGUGAAAACUAGGUUCAUGCUUAAAUAGAAGCAACUCUUUCGAAUUCUAGCUGAACAAAAUCAAACGGAUAGGUUGAAUGGCCACGUUAAUAGAGAGCUUUCAAAUAUUAUAGGUCCAACAAGUUCUAAGAACAGUGGAAAAGGAGCUUGGGUUUAGCGAAGGCCAGCUUCUACAUAAGCUAUGCAAGGUAAAAGAAAAAACAUUAGAAAUUUAUAAACUUUUAAAUCAAGCCACACUCCUGUUCCUUUAAUUAAGUUUCUUUCUUUUGCAGGUUUAUCUGUUCAUUUCAGGUCAUAGGGUUGUUGGCUGCCUCGUCGCUGAACCAAUAAAAACUGCCCAUAAAGUUAUUUCAAGCUCUUCUUCAUGCAAAAGUUCAAAUGACUUAUCGGAAAAGCCAAGUACAGCCAAUUCAACAGAUACUAACACGGAUUCGAGGAGGCGAAACCUAACAAUUCAAUUUGGUCAGUUUAGUUUCAAGAGAGAAAUCAUCAGAAAAGGUAAUCCUUUGGAUAAGACUGUCAAGAUUGAUCAGUGGGAUUGUGGAGCUAUUUUUUGUGAAGAGGAAGCUGUGCCGGCUCUGUGCGGCUUCAGGGCAAUUUGGGUUGCACCAUCCAGUAGGAGGAAUGGAAUUGCCUCUCAACUAAUGGAUGCAGCAAGGUAGUUAUAUUUGCAUAUGUACCCCUACAAAGUUGUCUAUUCACCUCUAUAUUUCUGCAAAACCUGAAUUUUUGAUAUAUGCUGUCCGAUAACUUGCUUUAUUGCAUGUUUACCAUUCUACAUGGCUAUUCCAAAGAAUCCUUUUCUAUUACACAACCUACUUGCUCAUGAAAACCUAAACCCUAAACCCUAAAUCCUAAAACCCUAAACCAGUUGGACUAAAGCCUGAUCAAGCAUCGACGCUCGUGCUUCUGUCAGCUUCAUAAAGCCUGUAGAGGAUCUUAACAAUUAAGAUUUUUACAGUGGAAUAUGUUAAGAUGAACGAUUUGCAUGGACAUAUGUGAUGGUGUCAAACUCUGUCGUAUGAGAUCUAACUAGUAAUUUUUUACAUAAAUUUCCCCGAGAAGGUUGAUCAUUUCAUGGCUUUUCCACACAUCAUAGUGGCUUUCUUCUUGAUAAAUCUAGGAUGGCCCAUAAUUUUCCUUUUCUUUCUUUUGGUGAAAGAUGAAUCCAAAGUGAAAUUUCUCAUCUAUUUUAAUCCAUUGAAAUAGUAUUAGAUCAGGAAAUGGUUGUGGUGUGCUUAUAAAUAUAAAUCGAGAAUACCGUGUCCUCUAUGUUCUAUUGUUUCUAUAUUUCUAACUAGUUGUGAAGCUUACGGUAGGCUCUGAUCACUGUAAAUUAGUGUAUCGGCUUAGUUAGAAACUUCUUAUUAUUUUUAUUUUUAUUUUUAUUUUUGAUUUAUGCAGGAAGAGCUUCUGCAAAGGUGAAACAUUAGAAGUUUCCCAAUGUGCUUUCUCAUCACCGACCUCUGCUGGAAAGGCAUUAGCAUGCAGUUAUAGCGAGACCAGCUCAUUCUUGGUUUAUAAAGCUGAAGAUCUCUUGUAAGUUUCAUCAAGAUGUUCCCCAUAUUGAAUUAUAUAUUUCCUUCACUAUUUUGGGGAGAUCGAAUGCAUUUCAUAUCUGAAAGAUCAAUGAAUUUCCUGUGUAGUAAGAAGUAGUUGGAACUGAAAUAACCCCAAGUGAUUCCUUUUUUCUUUUGUGCUACUUAUUUUUGCAGUUUGUACCUGUAAAUGGUUGAGUUUGUUACUUCACCUUGUUUGCUGAUUUGGUUAUUUUAGUAUGGAUAGCAAAAUUAAGAAGAAACCCAGGUUGAACUCACUCAACAUGGCUCGUUGACUGUGGUGAGAGGUUCUGUGUUUUCAUCUUCAUCGUAGUGUUUGUUUGAUGGAACAAAUUUGAAUAGAUCAGUACUCAAACAGUUUGUCAGUAGAAUUAUAAACCUUUACCCGGAUUUUGAUGCAAAGAAUACUUAAAAUAGUGUUUCUCUUAGUUUUGUAGAUUACUAAUUUUGUGAUAUUUAUUGCCUGUGCUCAUCUUUAGUAAAAAUUAGGCUCUAUUCUGAAUCUGAAAACACGUAAUCCAUUUCGUAUCUAGGGCUAUGAUUAUGUAAGCUAUUUAUUUAAAGGAGCACUAAUAGCUUUCUCAUUAAACUGCGCCGACAUUUAUUUCAGCUUUUUGUUAUAGUAAAUAUUCUGGAUUCAUGUUGUUUGCUGAAUUGUCUUAUUGCUGCUGCUUCUCCAAGUAGGAUUGCUCUAGAAUGCACUAGGCGACGACAUAGAAUCUACUUAUGGUUAAUAGUUUAUAGAGCUUCUAAACUUAAAUCGGUUUCGGGCCUCAGCAUGACCUUAUCGUAAAAAAGUUCCUGGGCCACCUGAACACCAACUUUGAAAGUUGAAAGAGCAUAGUAUGCGAAUUUAAUGCUUAUGAAACCCUAAAAUAAAGGUCCAUAGAAGUCUAUCUAUGAAAUUAUUGCUUAAGAAAAUCAACUUGGUGCUGUUGACAACUUACAAGCAUUUAUUGUGUAUUCACUGUUGAAAUAGAAUUCAUUGCUCUUCUUCCUUUUUUUUUUUGUUGACUAAUUACUAUAAAAUCCAACUCAAUAGCCAAGUUCAAGAAUUGAGAGUGGACCAAUCAAAUAAUUAUACACUCAUUAGCUCACAAUCAUCAGUACUGAACAUAUUACACAUGCACAAACCUGCAGCUCAAAUCAUAAGCAGUAAACAUAACACUGCAGAGGACAACUGCACACUGUUCGAAAGAGAAAAAUGAAAGACCCGCGCACGAUGCGCGGCUUCUGAAGCGUAGAAAUAGUAGAAAGGGUUAUGAACUCCUCCCCCUUCAGAAGACGACGGUGGCGGUUGCUGCGACGAACCGUGUGCAGGAGGAGAAGGAGAAGAAGGAGAAGAGCCUGGGAACGGAGGUGAGUUGCAUGGUUGAUGCGGUGGCGGCGGUGGCGGUGGUGGUGGCGGCCCACAUAUCGAAGGACACAGCUCGCACUUGCUGAUACAUAUCAGACUGUCAUCAGCUGCUGCUGCUGCUGCUGCAACCACCGCUGCGACCGCUGCUACGAUCGCUGACGUUGGCAUGCAGAACAUGCCUCUUCUGAAUACUCUUCUCUUCUCCAUGGUGAUGAGAAUGCAAGUGAGUUUCAGAGUUUGUUCUCUCUAAAUAUUGGUCCAAGCUUCUCAUCCAAGCUCUAAAUAGAAAGAAAUCGCGUAAAUUGCACCGCAGUCCCUGAACUUUCAAUGGAGUUUUAUUUUGGCCCUCGAACUAUCGAGUUGGAUGUUGAAGUUUAUAUAUAGAAUUCCACUUGCUCCUUAUGCAUAUCUGCUAUCAGAGGGCAAAUUGAGUUGUUAAAGAGUAUGAAAUAAUCGUUUUUUUUUUUUUUUUUUUUUUUUUGUUAGAGAACGGUGUUUUUAAAACUUUUUGAUAAACUUAAAAUAUAGAUUUGAAUUAAAUCUGAAAAAAAAUUAAAUAAUCCUAAUCCUAGGAGGUUGACGAGGUUCGAACUCAGAAUCUUCUGUUUUGUUCUUAAAAAGCUUAAACUUUUAUUUUAAAAAAAAUUAUUGUUUCAUAUUUUCUAACAUGAACUUUUCAGCUAAAAGUGUGAGAAAGACAAAGGAUUGAUGAAUUUUUGGCAUACGAGCAGAUAGAUGAAUCAAGUGCGAGCAAUAAUUUCUAUCCAAGAUAAGGGCUAAAAUAAAAUAUUGACGAAAGCUAGAGGAUCAAAAUGAAACUUUGAGUUAAAAGAAAUUUAAAGAAGAAUAAUGGGGAGGGAAUAGAUGCUUGAGGGGUGUAAAAGUUUUGGUGCAAAGGGUGGAGCAAAAGAGAUGCUUCUUGAAAGGCAUGAAUACCACCUCAAAAAAAAUAAUAAUAAUAAUAAAAAAGAAAUAGAAAAGUUAAUGAAUAAGAUUCUCUCUUCAUGAUUGGAAGAUGAUUCCCUGCAUUUUUAUUUUAUUUUAAUUUGCAUUUUGUAAAAAUGUAUGGAGACACCUCAACUGUAGAACAUUUUGAAAUAGCGUCAACAAUUUAUUUUUUAUUUUCCGGAUUGACACUCUCUAAAUUUUUUUUUCUUUAAAUAAUUUAUUUUAACCAAAAAUUUGAGAUUUUUAUUAAUUUAAUAGUUGUAAUUAUUUCAUACGAAAACUCGAUCAUUUACUAGUAGUAGAUAUUGACAUUAAGUCACUAAAGGUUUAACUUAAAAUAAUUGAAUGACUGAAAGAAAGAAAUUAGAAGUAAAGAGGUAUUCAAUUUUUUUUUUCAAAAAAAUUAGAGUUAAGGGUUGGUUUUAAAAAAGAUUAGUUUUUAGGUUGAGGGAUCUCUACACAUUUCUCACCUAAUCAAAGAGAUAAAUUCAAUGAUUAAAUGCUACUUGUACACCAGCGCGAGAGCUGCUUGUAGAAGAAAAUAAAAAAAAAGAAAAAAAAAGAAGGGCACAACAGAUAGCCUAGAUAAGUAAGUUUCGCUAAAUAAUAAACACUAUAAUUAAACAGCUUAAAUUAUAAAUAUUUUAAAUAUAGUGAAAAAAAAAACAAAAUUUAUUUAUUUAUGCUUAAUUUUUAUCUUUCUAAGUGAGAAAAAGAGGAUGGUGCAUAAUUUUUAUAUAAUAUGACACCCUGCAUAUACUAAAUCUUGUGAGGUAAAAAAAUAAUAAUAAUAAAACCAAUUGGGUUGGGCACGUGCCCCCCACGGGCACCCCUGUUUUAAGUGAUCAGUUAAACGACUUUUAUAUUAUAUGAAAGAAUAUAAGAUAUACACUUACUUACUUUGUAGUAUAUGAUAGCGUUGCGUAGUUUAAUUUGCCUUUUUGCUUUUUAUGAUGUGGCAUAUUUUUGGUUCGUUGUUCACAAUUAUAUUUAAUGGUUGUUAGUUUUAUUUUUAUUUUAUUUGCGAGUGGCCGUUUUUAAACAGAAUAAUAAAUUGAUAUAUUUGAAAAACUAUAUGGUGGUUGUAGUGUCAAGAACUUAGUAUGCUGGGUUCGAUUCAGUGGAGGUAUCUGGUUUGACACAUCUGUAGAAUGUAGGACUAAGUUGGAGCCGUUUUACGUGAAAUGGAUGUGAAAACGGAAUGCAGGAUUGCGGAAAUUUGUUGGAAUUGAAAUUUCUACAAGUUUCGGGUGCCCAGAAAGUGUUUAGGGCGCCAAUGUUUUGUGUAGGCUUGAAGGAUUUUGAAUCCUAGUUUGAGUCCCAAGUUUUAUGUAGCAACCUGAAAGUGAGUUAUAUGGCCAUUCGUAGAAUUGACAAGGGUUGACAAGUGCACUGUGACUCAUCACAGAUUCGAAUGCCAGAGUACAACCGCCUCAAAACAUUUGAGCAGAUUUACGAUGGGGUUGAAAGUGGAUUCGGACACUUGGUAAGAUCAAUUCGGGCACCGCGAAGUUCUGUUUUAUAGCAAUAGGUAAUUUUCUAUUUUUCUAAGGGCUCUUUUGUAAUGUUAUUUCUCUAUAAAUAGAUAGGGAAUAUGUUCAGAUCUUUUUUCCGUUUUCUAGCCAUAAAGACUCUUUUAUUUACUCUUCUUUUCUCUUCUCUUUCUUUUCCUUCUUCCUGCUUGUGAGGAGCAGCCGAAGCAACACGCACAGUAACUCGAGAAUCACAGUGGUACAAUGCUCGAGUGUGUGAAAUUGAGCUUUGCUCGUGAGUGAAGGAGUGGAGAGACCUGUGUGUUUGUUUCUACCAAACUGGAUUGUAAAGUAUUUGUUGGUUUGGAGUUUGUAGGAUUUUUGGAAUCUGUUGAAAUCGGAACGGCGAAAAAUAGAUCAGAAAAUAAUUUAAUGGCCAAGAAAGAAAGAUAAGAAAGAACACAUGAAAUUACCCUGGUUGGCCAACGGCUCAGUCACGGGCGUCAGACGGAACAAAUAAUUAUUAAUGGUCGAAAAUUGGAGUACAAAGAAGAUCUCUCAAAAAUCCGAACUCUAAUCUGAUUUAAAACGCGCGUAAUAACCAACUCCGGAAAAAACAACUUCUCUCUCAAUCCGUACGGACAACAAAUUUGGGGCCUUAUUAGCACUAGGCUCUUCAACCGUACGGACCAAUGUGCAUAAUUAGUCGCCGGCUCCUCGGGAUGCUCAAUUAAUUAGAGCUCAACUCUUCUUGGCUCGUGAUGAUGCAGCCACGAAAACAUUGAAGCUCGGUUCCUCCGCAAAACCGUACCCUCAAGAGACUUAAUUAAUUAGUGCAUGGCUCUUAUUUUGUUGCGGCAAGAUUAAUUCGACCUAGCAUGUAUUUAUAAUACAUGUUCCUAAUAGAGUCUAAUCCUAAUUUCAAUUAGAAAUAGAUUCGACUCUAAUCCAUAGUAUACAAAUAAAUCUAAAUUAUAUCAAUCCCAAUUAGAUUAGGAUUUAACUCCAAUUUAGAUAACUACAAUCUAACCAAUAUAACAGGAAUCGAAUCAAAUUUUCGUUUAGUUUUGAGGUCAAUUUAUAAACAGUCUGUUUUGCUGAAUUUUUGUUGAUCUUUGGAGUUUCCGGCUAAAUUCUAGAGCAAUGAGGGAGGCUUGUUGGAGCUAGAUUUGUCUUCUUUGUUGGAUUGAUUUGAGGUGGGUUUAAUUUACCAAAAAUAAUGAAUUCCUCACACGUCUAUAUAAAUUUCAGAUGUGUAGUAUCUAUUAAAUCAGCAGUAGGAAUGAUUUUUGUAGCCAUAUGUGAUGUGUCCACAUUGGCGGUUUUAAUUUACACCGAUCCACUUAAGAUGUGGAUUGAAUUUAUCCUAAUAAUUUAGGAUAAGAUAAUAUCCUUAGUUUCUUAUUAGUUAAGAAACGUAUUUACUAAUGGAUAUUAUUAUAUGUUAAUUGAUUAUCCUGAUCCUUAUCUAAUUAUAUGAGAAUUCAGGAUAUUUAGGGAUGAUCUGUUAUUUCUAUUAAAUACGUCCCCUUGUUUUCUCCAUGAAGGACGAUCGCAUACAAUCAAAUUCGUAAGAACCACGAAAUAUCUUCUUAUUCUCUCUCUUCUUCCUCUCUGGGAUUUCCACCUACGUUACCGGGUGCUUUUAAGUGUGGAUAUGAAGAGGACUCUGGUAGCCCUCUUCGAUUGGCAUCGUCGCAUCAGAUCUGCGUGCUAAGGCGUACGCGAAGGAGAAGCGAGAAACGUGGAGAAUCGAAGAUCGAGACAAGACGAUUCAAGAAGGCUUGUAAACAGUAAUCCGAUCGAUUCGGACUCCCGGAUACGUUGGCUAUUCCGGUUUUGUAGUUUUUCCGCUGUCCUAUUAUUUCUACAAUUGGGUAUCAGAGUCUUGCAUGCUUGUUUUCGCCUUUGAUCAUACUUGUGAUGCGGUGUGUUUUAGAUCGAAUGUUUCGGUGAUCAUUUUUGUCGUAGAUUAGUUCUACGCAUUUUUUCUUUUUGUUUUCUAUUUGUGAAAUCAGAUAAAAAAAAAGAACAAGAAAAAUUUAACUAAAUUAGUUUUAGUUUUUCUCUUAAAUUGAUCAUGCGAAAUUUUUUACAUAUGUUGUAUUUUUUUUGUUUGUUUUUUUUGUAAUUAAAAAUAAAUAAAUAUAUUGCUGCCGGUGGUUGAGGCUAAGGGGCUCGACGCGACCCGCUACGGGCGAGGGGCGCACCCGCGAGAACCGCGCAGGCUCGGCCUGCCGCGGACGCGGGCCCGCACCUCCCGAGCGAACCGCGCAGGCUCGGCCUGCCGCGGGAGCGGGCCAGCACUCGCCCACCCGCGCGGGCCCAGCCUGCUGCGGGCGUGGGCGCGCGCCCGCGUGCACCGCGCGGGGCCGGCCCGCUACGAGAGCGGGGGACGCCCGUGGGCACCGAGCGGGCCCGGACCGCUGCGGGAGCGGGGCUCACCCGCGCGCUCCGCGCGGGCCCGGCCCGCUGCGGGACCGGGGCGCACCCGCGCGCUGGACCGGCCCGCUGCGGUCGCGGGCGCGCGGCCGAGCGCACAGCGCGCGCGCACGCCCAUGCACAGCGCACGGGCCGGCCGACUACCCGUGCGCACAUGGUCUAGCGCAAAAGGAGGCCGGCCCGUUGCGAGUUGGCAGGCCCUGCCAGGCCUUCUGCUCGCAGGGAACCUACUCUGCUGAUUCUGGUGGGCUAGAGAGGUCGGCCCGGCCCCACGCACUGUUCAGAAUUAUUGAAUAUAUAUAUUUUUUUUCUGUGUUGAUUAAUCCUAUGUGGGUGUAUUCUUUCUAAUGCUUAUGUAGCAUGUGAUUGUAUUUUUUUUGGCAUAUAAGUACUUAUGUUAUUUCGGUGAUUUUUUUUAACAAAUUUAAUUUUGGAAAAAUGGGUUCGACGUCUGCAACAUUCCUGUAGAAUAUUAUUUUUUCUGAUGUACAUCUUGUAGUGAUGUAGUAGGUUUCAAUUAUGCAAAAGUGAUGUAAUAAUUAAGGCCAUGUAAAGGAAUGUGUUUUGCGCAGCAUUGACGUUUUUCAAAUUAAAUUUUGGCAUAAGUACUUAUUUUUAUCUGUGUGAUGAUAUUAUGAGAUUAGUUCUCCUCAUAUAAUAUUUUUUUCAAGAAAAGAUAUGUUCUUCAAAAUGGAUAAGUUCCAACUUUUGGAUAAGUUUCAAAAUUAAUAGAAAAUUAAUAAGAUUGUGAUAUUUUGAACCGACACUGGGUGAUGAUUACGAGCAUAGCGAAGUUUUCGAUCCCGUUGUGUCGAGGAUAAUAUUCCAAUCUUGUUAAUUUUUUCGGAAUAUGUGCCUAAUGUCCAAACCUAUUUUUUUGAAUGUAGUGAAAUGACUUCCAAGAACAUCAUAGCUGAUCUCACCAGGGGUGAUAAGCUAGAUGGAAAGAAUUAUGAUAUUUGGCAUAGGAAAAUGCAAUGCCUGCUCAAUGAACAAGGGGUUCUAGAAACUCUUUCUGUCAAAAGAGUUCUGCUUGCUGAAGGCACUGCUUCUAAGCAUGAUAAAGAGAUCUAUAACAAAUGGGUCAAGGAGGAUCGAACUGCUCGGUAUACUUUGUUGUGUGCCAUGCAAGAUGACCUCAUUGGACAAUUUGAGAUCUUUGAAACUGCCAAGGACAUGUGGGACAAUCUGAAGAUUACUUUUGGUCAAACUUCAUCUACGAGGCUACGUGCCUUAAAUCUCAAGUUUCUACAGUAUAUUAAAGACCCGAAGCAUUCAAUGGCUGAGCACCUUCGUGUGAUGAGCGCCAUGAUUCGGGACCUUAAGACUGCUGGAAACGAGCUUACUGAUGAGCAACAAGUUCUAGCAGUGAUUCGUUCACUGCCUGAUACUGAAUGGUCCCAGAUGAAGCUCCUGAUGACGCACAGUGAGAAUAUUAAAACGUUUAAUGACAUCUCGCACCAUCUCGAGCUCGAGGCAGUGCGCUUAGAAGUGAACCGUUCUGUCGCUCUUGUUGCACGCUCCGAGAAGCGCAGUGGGAUUGCACCCAAGCGCAAAAAACAUCACAACAAUGGAGCGCAGAAGAAAUGGAAUCAAGCUCCUCAGGGUAGAGUUGGAAAGCACCGCAGAGGCAAGCGCGCUGGCAAUAAGGAUGCUACAAAGCUAAAAUGCUACAAUUGCAAGAAGAAGGGUCAUUUCGCUCGGAAUUGUCCUGAGGCGAAAAUUUAACCAUACCACUCAACUCACACUGUUUUGUUUGCUCUCAUGCUUUAGUAGCUCAUUCUCUUCCUAUUUGGAUUGUGGACACAGGAGCAAACAAACACGUAGUUCAUGAUCGAGUGGGGUUCGUAGAUUAUCAUCGAGUACCGUCUGGCACACAGUUUGUCACCCUUGGGAAUGGCACGAAGGAAGAAGUUCUAGGAGUCGGUUCGUACCAACUCAAGUUGCGUAGUGGCCACACUUUACUUCUUCAGGACGUGCUAUAUGCACCCGAAAUUCGAUGUAAUCUAUGUUCAGUUUUAGCUUUGUUGCAUCUAGGAUAUUUAUUUCAUUUUGACAAUGACCGCCUUGAUAUUUUCUUUCAUGGUACUUUAUUUGGAUAUGGUACAUUAGUUGAUAGUUUCUUUAAAUUAGAUUUGGAGGAUGAUUCGUUUGCAUUUGCUUCUUCUUCUUCUUUAUCUAUUCUCUGUGAUGAAUCCGUUAAAUGGCAUGCCAGAUUGGGCCAUAUAGGUCAAGAAAGAAUGAAUAGACUGGCUCGAGAAGGCCUUUUGGGGUCUUUCGCCAAAGUUGACCUAUCUGCGUGCGAGCCUUGUCUAGCUGGGAAGGCAUGUAGAAAGCCUUUUGGUAAGGCUACUCGUGCCUCUCAUCCAUUAGAGCUAAUCCACUCAGACAUUUGUGGGCCAAUGAAUGUGAGGGCCCGGCAUGGUGCUUGCUAUUUUCUCACAUUCAUUGAUGAUUAUUUCCGUUAUGGAUAUGUGUAUUUGCUUUCUCGCCGAUCUGAAGCUUUAGAUUGCUUCAAGUGCUUCGUUGCGGAGGCUGAGAAUCAAAUAGAAAGAAGUGUAAAGGUGCUUCGCACUGACCGAGGUUGUGAGUACUUGUCUGAUCAGUUCAAGACUUACUGUGAGCAAAAGGGUAUUAAUAGACAGCUCACUAUUCCUGGUACUCCGCAACAAAAUGGUGUUGCAGAGCGAAGGAACCGUACUAUAUUAGAUAUGGUUAGGUCGAUGAUGGCGCAAGCGCAACUUCCUAUAAAUUUUUGGGGAGAUGCUCUUUUGACUGCAGCCUACAUCCUUAAUCGAGUUCCUAGCAAAUCAGUGCCAUCUACCCCAUAUGAGUUGUGGAGUGGUAGAAAACCAAGUUUACACUACUUACGCCCUUGGGGUUCAGCUGGAUAUGUUCACAGCCUCUCACAUAGAUUCGGAAAACUCGGCCCUAGAGCGAGCAAGCAUGUAUUCAUCAGAUACCCUGAAAAUUCGAAGGGCUAUGUGAUGUAUGAUGAACACCCAGAUGGUGGUAUGACCGAGAUUGAGUCUCGUGAUGUGGAAUUCCUAGAAGGGAAUUUUCUAAGCAUUAGUGAAAUGCGAAGAGACGUCGGAUUGUAUGAGUUAUAGGACGACACUACCCCAUUUGCGGUUGAGGGUGAUCGAUCACUUCCCGAAGUCGAUGAAGGAAGUGGUAGCGAUCCUCCGGCUAGUGGGAGUGCUUCUUUGAGUGAGAGCAUACCCUUGGAAGUCGGCAGAUUAGACCCUCCAUUACGCAGAAGUGAACGUGGACAUAUUCCUCGUCGACAUUUUGAGAUCGAAGGGGAUAUUUUCAUGUGCACUCCGCUCGAUGAUGAUGAACCUGCUUCUUAUAAAGAAGUAUUACAGACAUCAGCUUGCAGUGAGUGGAUGGCUGCUUGAAAGAUGAGAUGGACUCCACGAGCAAGAACCAAGUAUGGGAAUUGGUUGACCUUUCGCCUGGGCGCAAGUCUAUUGGAAAUAAAUGGGUUUUAAAAAUUAAGCGCAAGGCGGAUGGAUCAAUCGAUAAAUACAAGGCUCGGCUCGUGGCUAAGGGCUACACUCAGAGGCAAGGGGUGGAUUACAACGAGACGUUUGCUCCCGUUGUGCGAUUUGCCUCUAUUCGUUUGAUUCUAGCCUUAGUGGCACACCUAGAUUUGGAAUUGUUCCAAAUGGAUGUCAAGACAGCUUUUCUCAAUGGAGAAUUGGCGGAGGAGAUCUAUAUGGAUCAACAUGAGGGUUUUGUACUCAAAGGUCAAGAAGACAAAGUUUGUCGUCUUAAAAGAUCCAUUUACGGUCUCAAGCAGUCGUCGAGACAGUGGUAUUUCAGGUUUCAUGAAGCCAUCACCUCUAUCGGUAUGUCCAUGAUAGAGGAGGACCACUGUGUAUAUGUCAAGACGACAGAGAAUGGGAUUUUAUUUUUCUUUCUUUUCCUUCCCUGUUGGUGAGGAGCAGCUGAGCAACACCAGCAACAGCUGAAGCUCGAGAAUCACAGUGUAAUAGUGCAUCGAGUGGUGAAGUUGAGCUUUGCUCGUGAGUGAGGAGUGGAAGAGACCUUGUGUUUUGUUUAUACCCAACUGGAUUGUAAAGUAAUUUGGUUGAGUUUGGAGUUUAGUAGGAUUUUUGGAAUCGAAUCAAAUUUUCGUUAGAUUUUGAGUCCAAUUUAUACAACAGUGGUUUUGCUGGAUUUUUGUUGAUCUUUGGAGUUCCCGGCUGAUUCUAGUGCAAUGAGGGAGACUUGUUGGAGCUAGAUUUGUCCUUCUUUGUUGGAUUGCAUUUGAGGUGGGUUUAAUUUACCAAAAACAAUGAAUUCCUCACCAUCUCUAUUAUAAAUUUCAGCAUGUGUAGUAUCUAUUAAAUCAGCAGCUGGGAAUGAUUUUAAUUUGUAUGGAAUUACUAUUAGCAUGUUGUUAUUACUUCUAUUGAUUGUUAACCUAAAUGGUACAUGUUGUUACCUAGUUAAGCUGUUAUGGAUCCCUUCCCUAUUAGCAUAGUAGUGUUACUUAAUAAAUCUGACCACGAGAUGCACACUCAAUUAUCUUUUACAUAUAUAUUUGAGUGAGUGUGGAUGACAGCUUGUAUGCUUAUGGAGAGUUAUUUUGCAGUUGGGUGAUACAGCAGUUCCAAAUCAUUAGGUUACAUUCCGGAUAAUGUCGAGGGUACGUGGAUAGUAGUUUUAUGAUCUGAUUGUUCAUUUACAUUGACUACAGCCUGCACGAGCUAUAUUUGAGCUCGACAGAGAUACGUAAUGAAAUGCAGUUCCAGAGUCUGGCUAUAACGUUGAUUUGUUGCAGCAGUCCUGGUAGCGACCUACAUAUUAAUGGGCCACCUACGAAAGUAGUGUCAUGGCAAUAGAUAAGCACGUUUGACCGGCCCCUCGAGUCAGUCAGUGAGAUUGGAUUAUGACUGUAAGCACCCAAUAGUUAGUUGAUGCAUACAUAUAUAUUCAACUUUUUUAUCUUGAGCAUUUGUAGUUUAGAGGCAUAAUAGUUGUAGACUUUCAUUCCAGCUUAUACAUAUAUCAUGUUGUACAGUUGAUUAUUUUUUCCUUUUAUGCUUCUAUUAGACUUAGUGGGUAGGUCGUUGUCAUCGGUGACAUAUCCACUGGGGACUAAUUUUGCAGUAGUUUUUACGCCCUCUGUUGUUGCAUUUUCUUUUCAAAGCCCUCCGUGCCGAUUGCUGCAUCUGAUCGAGAUAAGGGGAUCGCGAGUUAGAUAGUGCCUCCUUCCUAUGUUGACCAUGCUAGAGGAGGACUCAAUAGAGGCUAGUUUUUGGGGGAGUAUAUUUUUACAUACUGGAACUAGUGAUGCUAGCUAUAUUACUAUUUUAUCUGUUGUUCUGGGAGAUACAGCUAUACUUAGAGCUGUGAUUUAUGUACAUUAUAGCUUUGUUUUUGUUAGUUACUUUGAUUCCAGCUUUGAUAUAUGCUGGUUGUAACUUAUAGGACUGCUUUUACAGGUUCUUGACUUUUCAUGUAUACGGAGCUUCCCGUAUAUGCGGUGGAUUUGUUGGUGCGCCCGGAUCCCUAUUCUCUCUUCUCUCUCAACAACCUUUGGCUGGUGACCAUCUAAAUAAGAAGAAUUAGAAUUUCAAGUACAUUUCAAAAAGAUAAGUUUUAAAUAUCAAGACCAAUUUACAUAAAAAGUCCAUCAAUUUUAUGGUUUUGCAAAAAUAUACUUUUUUUUUAAAUUUUGCUGAUUAGGUCUAGAUUUUUAGUAAACUGAUCAAAUAUCCUUAUUCAUUUUCUCUCUCCUUUUUCUUUUGUUUGUUUUCUCCUUCCUCCUCCUAGUCGUUCGUUUCUCUUUUUUUUUUUCUUUCGCUUUAUCUUCUUUCUCCUCCUCCUUCACCGCCACUAGGGAUGCAAUAUAGGUCGUGCCAGGUCACCACCUGAAACAAAUCAGGCUAAUAGCCGGCUCGACUCAGCUUCAAGUCCGGGGCAAGCCGGAUCUACCAAGCCUCUGGACCGAAAGGCAUGGGUAGUGUUGGGGCUGGCACGACCCAGGCCUAUUUCAAGCUCGACUGGGUUGCAUUGUCAGACCUAAGGGGAGAGGCCCAGCAUGACCUGGAAAGCUGGGAUGGCACAGGUGCUAUAGCACCCAUUUCGAGUUGCAGCCCGACCGAAGGUCUUGCUGGGCCAAGUGGCCAACGGGCCGCCUGACCCAUUUUACAUUCCUAAUCGCCCAAUGUCGAUGCUGCAUUUCUCUUUCCUACCUCCGUCGACGCUAGCGGUGACGACACAUGCUCGGAUAUGGUACAUAUCAUGAAGGUGAGGCUACGACGGAGGAUAUGGUCAUGGACGACAAAGGCAAUGAGGGUGCCAUAGGAUUUGAGAAGAGCAGUGAGGGAAAGUGCAUCAAGUGUGGUAGCUACUAUAGUGGAGGGCAAGGGAGGGGACGCGAUAGCAAAAAUAAGAUGCAAAGGGUGAAGAAAAAGAAGACAGUAGAAUAUAUAUAUAUAUAUAUAUAUAUAUAUAUAUAUAUAUAUAUAGAGUCCGGUUACUAUACUAUUAUGAGUACGAUCGCCCUCGUACUCAUAAGUCGUUUUCGAUGAUAGAGCUUCCGAAUCGACGAUCCAUACUGUUAAUGUAAGGGAAGUGAAUUCUCGAAAUCCGAGGAUUAGACUUCGUUGGGAAUCGACUAAUUGUCGAGUGUGUAAGCUUCGGAAAGUCCGAAGGUGGUAAUAAUGCGUAAAGUGCAUUGAGGUAAUGUCCGCGAGAGCACUAGUGCAAAAGCUGCACUGGAGCAGAAAUGCUCUCGGGGACCGGUCCCUGGCAGGGAGGGACCGGUCCCAUCGGGCUGGGCUGCGGGGGUCUCUGAUGAGAUCGGUCCCUGGUGGUCCCUGGUAGGCAGGGAUCGGUUCCCAAACAUUAGCCGAGCGAGAAUUAGCCGAAAUUUGGCUAAGUCCUGGGAACCCAGCUCUCGGGAACCGGUCUCUCAGACAAGGACCGGUCUCCCGAGGGCCGGUCUCUCAAGCAGGGACCGGUUCCCGAACGCGAAAUCCCCUCUGCCCGAAGGUGCAGCUCUCGGGGACCGGUCUCCCCGAGCUGGGACCGGUCCCUCACUGCGAAAAUGGCCCAGGGAGGGCUGUUUCAGGAAAUGAAAAGUUGAGGGGGCUAUCUGCAAAAUAACCUAUAUGAAGGCUUGGGGACCUCUCUCUCCCUCUCAUUUGCUCUCUCUCCCUUUCACACUCUUUCCCCCUCUCUCUCUAGGAGAGAAAAGAAGGAGAAGAAGAAGGAAAAGGAGAGGAAGGAGAAGAAGUAGGAGAAGAAGAAGACAAAGGUGGAGAUCACCUUCCUCAUCUACUUCUUUUUCUUCUUGGACUAAGCUUUUGAAGGUAAGCUUUUAACCCUACCAUGGUGGAUUUCUUGGAUUAGGGUUUUGUGGUUUAGAAAUGGUUCAAAUGGAACCUAUUGAAGCUAGGGAGAAGGUUCGAGCUCGAAAUUGAAGCUCGCACCGCAGAUUUCUCCAUUAUUGAGACCUAGGGCUCCGAUUUGGGAUUUUGGCAAGUUUAGGGUUUUGAUCUAAUUUGAGAGGUUGUAAACCUAAUUGCUAGGUCCCUGAACGCGUCGGCAAAGACGGUUCGUCGAUCCGUCGAGUAGGUGCAGAGUUAUUGUCGAAGGCGACCAUCGGAGCUUCGUUCUUGCCUGGAAGGCCAUCGAGGCGUCGAAACGUCGGUGAAUCACAUUCGAAGAGUCACGGCAUCGCCACGAGGUCGGGGAGUGCCAUCCCGAAGUAGUCGGGCUGCUCUUUAUGUCUGAGUAUCAUUAUCGAUCAUUUACAUAUUGCGAUACAGUAUUAUAGGGUUCUAAAUGUGAUUGUGCAUAUCCUUGCAUGCUAGUGAUGAUUUAGGUUGUGGAUACAAAGAUGAAAACCUAGUAUGCAUGAGUGGAAUAUUAUGAGAUAGUUCGCCCUAUAUGUGAUGAAUAUGUUUAUGUGAAUAAGAACCUAGUGUAUUGGAAACUNAUCCAUACCGUUAAUGUAAGGGAAGUGAAUUCUCGAAAUCCGAGGAUUAGACUUCGUUGGGAAUCGACUAAUUGUCAAGUGUGUAAGCUUCGGAAAGUCCGAAGGUGGUAAUAAUGUGUAAAGUGCAUUGAGGUAAUGUCCGCGAGAGCACCAGUGCAAAAGCUGCACUCGAGCAGAAAUGCUCUCGGGGACCAGUCCCUGGCAGGGAGGGACCGGUCCCAUCGGGCUGGGCUGUGGGGGUCUCUGAUGAGACCGGUCCCUGGCAGGCAGGGACCGGUUCCCAAACAUUAGCCCAACGAGAAUUAGCCGAAAUUUGGCUAAGUCCUGGGAACCCAGCUCUCGGGAACCGGUCUCUCAGACAAGAACCGGUCUCCCGAGGACCGGUCUCUCAAGUAGGGACCGGUUCUCGAACGCGAAAUCCCCUCUGUCCGAAGGUGCAACUCUCGGGGACCGGUCUCCCCGAGCUGGGACCGGUCCCUCACUGCGAAAAUGGCCCAGGAAGGGCUGUUUCAGGAAAUGAAAAGUUGAGGGGGCUAUCUGCAAAAUGACCUAUAUGAAGGCUUAGGGACCUCUCUCUCCCUCUCAUUUGCUCUCUCUCCCUUUCACACUCUUUCCCUCUCUCUCUCUAGGAGAGAAAAGAAGGAGAAGAAGAAGGAAAAAGAGAGGAAGGAGAAGAAGUAGGAGAAGAAGAAGACAAAGGUGGAGAUCAUCUUCCUCAUCUACUACUUUUUCUUCUUGGACUAAGCUUUUGAAGGUAAGCUUUUAACCCUACCAUGGUGGAUUUCUUGGAUUAGGGUUUUGUGGUUUAGAAGUGGUUCAAAUAGAACUUAUUGAAGCUAGGGAGAAGGUUCGAGCUCGAAAUUGAAGCUCGCACAGCAGAUUUCUCCAUUAUUGAGACCUAGGGCUCCGAUUUGGGAUUUUGGCAAGUUUAGGGUUUUGAUCUAAUGUGAGAGGUUGUAAACCUAAUUGCUAGGUCCCUGAACGCGUCGGCGAAGACGGUUCGUCGAUCCGUCGAGUAGGUGCAGAGUUAUUGUCGAAGGCGACCUCGGAGCUUCGUUCUUGCCUGGAAGGCCAACGAGGCGUCGAAACGUCGGCGAAUCGCAUUCGAAGAGUCGCGACAUCGCCACGAGGUGGGGGAAUGCCAUCCCGAAGCAGUCGAGCUGCUCUUUAUGUCUGAGUAUCAUUAUCGAUCAUCUACAUAUUGCGAUAUAGUAUUAUAGGGUGCUAAAUGUGAUUGUGCAUAUCUUUGCAUGCCAGUGAUGAUUUAGGUUGUGGAUACGAUGAAUGAAAACCUAGUAUGCAUGAGUGGAAUACUAUGAGAUAGUUCGCCCUAUAUGUGAUGAAUAUGUCUAUGUGAAUAAGAACCUAGUAUAUUGGAAACUAGUGUAUCAAGAACUUGUCAAGAGAACGAGUGGCAUCUAGUUAACAGUGAACCCAGAACGAGUGGCACCUAGUUGAUAGUGAACUUGAGAACUUUAGUGUGGUUGAGACACUUUGAGAUUGAGUAGAAGAACACCUGAUGUUAUAGUGACACCAAUUCUAGUUGGUUAGGGUGUUCCCAGUUCAUGAGAUUGGAUCGAGCUCACUUAGCCUGUCUGCACCUGUGGAGGUAGCUCCUCACAGGUAGUGCACUCCGAAGUUUGGCACGCGAGGGGGCCAGUGUAGUGCCUUUGGACCAGUGUAGUGUCCGCAGGCGGUCUCGAGGUAGGUGAAUAGCUAGCCACCUCCCUAGGAGACUUACAGACGUGAGACAGUGAGCGAGCCCCGCGAGUUCGCUGAGAGAUUGGGUGACCUGAUGAGUUGCAUUGUUGUUUUGUAUGAUAGCUUGGCACUUAGCCUUAGCCUUAUUGAUGAACCUAGUAGCAUGGUAGCUAACCUUUACUAUGAGUUACAUCAACAUUGAGUAUAGUCGCUUGGUAGUCAGAAUAGUGGAUUUGCCUACAUACAGUGAGUGGACAUACUAUUCUUUCACCUAUGAGAUUUGAGUGAGAUAGCCCUGUACCUAGUCGAGAUUGAGUCGAACCAUCGAGAUGUGAGUCGGGCAAAGAGCGGGGUAGCUCUUUGCCUAGGACCUUCGAGAUGUGAGUCGGACCUACGAGUUAUGAGUCGGGCAAGGAGCGGGGUAGCUCUUUGUCUAGGACCCUUGAGAUAUGAGUUAGGCGGGAAAAGAGCGGGGUAGCUCUUUACCUACUGGAUUUGAGACCUUAGGCAAGAUUGGCCUAGUCGAUUGGGUUGUAACAGGAUUAGCAUAAGUGGAUUGCAUUCAUACCAUGAUUAGACAUAGUAAACUGCAUAACUAUGUUGUAGUUGUAUUCAUUACACUGUUGAAACAUACUAGCAUGAUAGUAGGAUAUUGCUAGAUGAUGUGACAUGCAUUCCUUGCAUUUGAUGGCAUAGUAGAUAUAGUAGCANCUUGCGUUCGCCGAGAGAUUGGGUAAUCGGAUGAAUGAUUUCGUUAUUGAGCAUGGUAGUAUGAUAGCCAGCCUUCUUACUAUGAGUUCCAUGCAUGCAUCAUACUGGAUUGAGGCAUUGAUAGAUCAUAGUUCAUAGUUGCUCAUUACUGUUAAUGCUUUCAAUUUUAUUUAUCUAUCUAUCUGCAUAUCUAUCUGUGCCUGCUUAGGCCUAGUGGGUAGAUCGGCGGAGUCGGAGGCCGAACCCACUGGGAACUAUUCAUAGUUCUCACUCCACCAUGUUACAGGUCCGAGUUCGAGCGCCCCUGGUGAGGAUCGCGGCAAGGGCGUAGCGCCCUAGUGAUACUAGUAGAGGUUUACUUUCCUUAUGCUUUAGCUAUACCCUGUACCUAUUUUGAGAGUAGAUGGAUGUAUAGGGUGAGGUUUUGAGAGGAUUAUAUAUAUACGUUGUACAGGUUUGGAAGAAUGCAAGUUGUAAUAAUUGUAUAAAGUUUAAUGAAUUAAUAGUUAAGUACAUCUCUCUCUCUUAUCACUUAUAUGUUUUACAUGUGUUGCUUGCUCUUGAUUGUUAAGCACUGUUUGUGCUCUCGUGGUUGUUGUAUGAUUGUGUAUGUAUUCAAGUUGUUUCCUGGGAACUUGUUGUACACAAUCUAGCCAUUCGAGCCUUGGGCGGACAGAGGAGGUGCUGUCCGUUCGGCGGUCCGUUCGCCGCGCCCGAACGGUGCCAAAUGGGUUGCGGUCACGGGGCGGGGGCGUGACAGUUGUGGUAUCAGAACGAGAGUGAGAGCAAGCAAAAGAGAGAGUCUAGAACUGACCUAGAAGACUCUAGGAUGGUGAACCUUAAGGAUUAUAGGUGCGUGAGUGCGACAUGAACCUGUGACGCGGCGGAAGUUGAUCGAUUGGGUCGAAGUCGGUGUUGUUGCUCUAGUAGUUUCUAGAGAUGAAUUGAGUGGUACUAGUCCUUGGCUUCAGGCGACUGUGUUGGCGGCCGACAACACAAUGCCGGGAGUCAAGAACGGGUACACUUGUGAGCUUCCGUCUGAUUUGUGUAAUUAAGUUGUAUCGUUUCGUAACUGCGAAGACGUCGUUGGGUUAAGAAUUAACCGAUUGUUUGUGUUUCAGGAGCUAAUGGCACCGAAGAGACGCUACGUGCGUAGGACUACUCCGGCACCACCCCCAGGGGUGCCCGAGUCAGCUGUGCCCCUGGCGGCGCCCGAGCCAGCUGGGCCUAGUGAGGUGCAAGAAUUGUGGGCACAAGUUGCUGCGUUAGCAGGGCGGUUCGAUCGGCUCCAGGAGCUCAUGGAGCGUCAGGCAGCGGCUGCGGCAGUUGGCCAAGGCCACGUUCCGCCUGCACCUUCGGUUCGCGCCCCCCAAUGCGGCCGAGGGUGUGGGCGAUGCGCCGGUUCCGGUGGCGGCGCAACCCCCACCGGUGGAUAUUCCUCCUGCGGCGUCUAGAUCUCCUACGCCCAGAGCAGCGGCUGAGGAGGCGGAGCGAGAGCGGGGCUACACGGCUCUCACAAGGUUUACGAAGUUCCACCCGCCUACGUUCGACGGAGAGGUGAUAGACCCUUGGACAGUGGAGACAUGGUUGGCCUCGAUGGAGACCCUAUUCGAGGAUAUCUAUACAGAGGAGCGGGACAAGGUCAAUUUGGCCGCUCAUUGCUUUGAUAAGCGGGCCAGGGUGUGGUGGAAGAGAGUAAAGCAGGAUCGAUCUCCGGAUCUUCUCCCAAUCGAUUAGGAGGAGUUCCAAAGAUUGAUGUUCGCGGAGUACUUUUCCGAUAGCGAUAAGAGAAAGAUGCGGGAAGACUUCAGGAAGCUUAAACAAGGCAAUCGCACGGUUCGGGAGUAUGAGCGGGAGUUCACAUAUCUUUUGAACUGCGUCCCGGACGUGGCGACGAAGGAGCAAGAUCGAGCAGAUUGCUUCGUGAGAGGACUCCGACCCGGCAUGUUUCGUAUGGUGCAUGCCUUCAAGUUUCAUACUUUCGAGGAGGCUUAGGACCGCGCCUUGUGGGUCGAGCACGGAAAUGCCUGCGAACGUGAGGACCGUGAGGCGUUCGAGAAGGAUAAAGAAAGGAAGCGACCGUGCGGUAGUUCGAGGGGACAAUCGAGUUCCAGAAGGCCCCCGAAGUAUCCACGAUCGCAAUCGAAGGGCCGCAGAGCGUAGCGGUGUAUCUUUUGCGGCGGUGACCACCGACCCAGUUUGUGUGAUCAGCGCCGAGGAAAGUGUUUUAGAUGCGGGCAAGCAGGGCACAUCGCACGUGACUGCCCUCAAGGUGGGGAUUUACCUGUUCCAUCUGUUGCAUCGGCCCCGGCUAUUCCGGCUCAUUAUGCAAUGCCACCCGCUGCGGCGUCGACUAGACGUGCGGCAGCACCACGUCAACCUGAACCUGCACGAUCGGCUCCAAGUGGAAGGAUGUAUGCCGCUCAAGUACAAGAGGAGGAGCCCACCGAAGCCGAGGAGCGCAAUGUAGUGGCAGGUAUGGUGUUGGUUCAUGGUGUUUGAGCAAGAGCUCUUUUUGAUACUGGCGCCUCUCACUCGUUCAUAAACCGGUCGUUUGCACAAGUGCAUGGUAUUGAGAUUAGUCUCGGGGAGAAUGUGUGGCGUGUAGAAGGACCCGGACGAGCCUUCCUUGUUAGAAAGCGGUGUUUGGCGUGCCCAGUACAAGUAGGUGACUGGAUUAUGCCGGUCGACCUGUUAGUGCUAAAGAGGUUGAAGGAGUUCGAUGUCAUUUUGGGCAUGGACUGACUCUCGAAGUAUUAUGUGUCUAUCGACUGCAAGACUAGAGUGAUCACAUUUCGGGAGCCGGGACACGAGGAAUUCAUGUAUCGAGCUUGCAAGAGUUCGUGUUUCGCCGCGACGGUGUUGGCGACAAGAGCGAGGAAGCUGGUUAAUAGCGGUUGUACGGCUUACUUGGCAACCGUUAUGGAAGUCGACUGAGUGGUGCCGACUUUGGAGGAGUUGGAGGUUGUGCGAGAGUUUCCGGACGUGUUUCCGGCAGAGUUACCGGGGAUGCCGCCGGACCGAAAAAUUGAGUUCAUGAUAGACUUGCUUCCCGGGACCGCGCCGAUAUCCAAGGCCCCGUAUCGCAUGGCGCCAGCUGAGCUAAGGGAGUUGAGGGAUCAGUUGCAGGAUCUUCUCGACAAAGAGUUCAUUAAGCCGAGCGUGUCACCGUGGGGAGCCCCGGUAUUGUUUGUGCGCAAGAAUGAUGGAUCUUUUCGACUCUGCGUGGAUUACCGCGAGUUGAAUAAGGUCACCGUGAAGAACAAGUACCCGUUACCCCGCAUCAACGACUUGUUUGAUCAAUUACAGGGGUCGCGAGUGUACUCGAAGAUUGACCUUCAAUCCGGCUACCAUCAAUUGAAGAUUAAGCCGGAGGAUGUUUCGAAAACCGCGUUCUGCACGCGGUAUGGACACUACGAGUUCACCGUGAUGCCGUUUGGGCUUACAAAUGCCCCGACUGCGUUCAUGAGCUUGAUGAACCGAGUAUUCAAGGAGUGUCUAGACCGAUUUGUCGUAGUCUUUAUAGACGACAUCUUGGUUUAUUCGCACAAUGAGGAGGAGCAUGCGGAGCAUUUACGUACUGUACUUCAAAUCCUUCGGGAGAAGAAGUUGUACGGCAAACUAAAGAAGUGUGACUUCUGGCUCCGAGAAGUCGCUUUUCUCGGGCAUGUUAUUUCCGAGGGCGGUGUUUCUGUUGACCCGAGAAAAGUAGAGGCUAUUGAGAGUUGGCCGCGCCCGACAAAUGUUGCUGAGGUCCGAAGUUUUGUGGGCCUGGCAGGGUAUUAUCGACGGUUUGUGGAGGGGUUCUCUAAGAUCGUGACUCCACUUACCCGUCUGAUGCAGAAGGGCACCAGGUUCGUUUGGAGCGACGAGUGCGACUGGAGUUUUAAAGAGUUGAAGGAGAGGUUAACUUUGACUCCGGUACUCGCCUUACCGGUGCAGGGUGAGGAUUAUAUGGUGUAUAGCGACGCAUCCUAUCUGGGUCUGGGGUGUGUGCUGAUGCAAGGCGGGAGGGUGAUUGCUUAUGCAUUCCGUCAGUUGAAAAGCUACGAGAAAAACUACCCCAUACAUGACUUAGAGUUGGCGGCGGUGAUCUUUGCUCUGAAGCUUUGGAGACACUAUCUAUAUGGUGCUCAUUGCGAGAUCUACACCAACCAUAAAAGUUUGAAAUACUUGUUCACCCAAAAGGAGCUGAACAUGCGGCAACGGCGGUGGUUAGAAUUGCUUAAGGAUUACGACGUUGAUAUCCUUUACCACCCCGGGAAAGCGAACGUGGUCGCGGAUGCACUUAGUCGGAAGUCGGCGGAGAACCUCGCCUUGUGGGUUACAAGUCAGACUCCCCUGCGGUUACAAAUGGGGAAGUUGGAUCUCGAGGUGGUGGCUCCGAAAAUUUCGGCUAGGUUGAUGACGUUGGUGGUCCAACCCACGUUAUUGGAAAGGAUUAAGAAUCUACAGUCGGCGGACCCGAAUCUCCAGAAGGUGCGGCACAAUGUUGAAAGUGGCCGUGGCGGAGAUUUCAGCAUGGAUGCUAGUGGUGCACUACGGUUUUAAAACCGGUGGUGUGUGCCAAGUGACGAGGAGCUUCGCAAGUUGAUUUUGCAAGAAGCGCAUUGGUCUCCUUAUGUCGACCACCCGGGCGGCACCAAAAUGUUUCACGAGUUGAAGACACUAUACUGGUGGCCGGGAAUGAAGACUGAUAUUGGGCGCUUCGUAGCGAAGUGUUUAGUAUGCCAACAGGUGAAGGCGGAGCGCCGGUUUCCAGCGGGGAAGCUUCAAAGUUUAUCUAUUCCCGUUUGGAAAUGGGAUGACAUAUCGAUGGACUUCAUCGUUGGCUUACCUCGUUCGACGGGUGGCCACGAUGCAAUUUGGGUGAUUGUGGAUCGUUUAACGAAAUCGGCGCACUUUCUGCCGAUCCACAACACUUGGGCAGGUGAAAAGCUCGCGCAGGUAUACCUCGACGAGAUUGUAAGGCUACAUGGGGUGCCGAAGUCGAUUGUAUCAGACCGAGACCCCAAGUUCACUUCACACUUUUAGAGAAGCCUGGAGGAAGCCCUUGGCACGCGACUCGAUUUCAGUACCGCCUUUUAUCCUCAGACUGAUGGGCAGACAAAGAGAACCAUUCAGACCCUGGAGGAUAUGUUGCGGGCGUGUGCCAUUGAUUACAAGGGGAAUUAGUGUAAGCACCUGCCGAUGGCCGAGUUCGCCUGCAACAACAGCUAUCACGCGAGUGUGGGGAUGGCACCGUUCGAGGCUCUUUAUGGGCGGAAGUGCCGAUCUCCCAUUCAUUGGAGUGAUGUGGGCGAGCGAGCGGAGUUCGGUCCUGACGUGUUGCGAGAGGCGGAGGAGAAAGUCCACCUUGCUCGUAAGAGAUUGCUCACGGCGCAGUCUCGGCAGAAGAGUUAUUCAGAUAAGCGCCGUAGGGAUCUAGAGUUCGCGGUGGGUGACCGCGUGUUUUUGAAAGUUUCGCCGAUGAGAGGCGUGAAAAGGUUUGGGGUGCGAGGGAAGUUGAGUCCUCGUUAUGUUGGCCCCUACGAGAUUUUGGAGCGGAUUGGAACGGUGGCUUACCGACUUGCGUUGCCACCCAAGCUUGCGGGUGUGCACAAUGUAUUCCACGUCUCCAAUCAACACAAGUAUGUGCAUGAUCCUGAGCACAUCUUAGUCUAUGAGCUGCCGGAACUGCAAGAAGAUAUGAGUUACGAAGAAUUUUCGGUGGAGAUUUUAGCUCGAGAAGUACGUAAGUUGAGAAGUCGCAAAAUUUCUUAUGUUCAAGUCCGGUGGAGCAAUCAUGACGAUCGCGAAGCCACCUGGGAGCUCGAGGAGGAGAUGAAAGCGAAUCAUCCUCACUUAUUUGAGGAAUGAGCUGAGGUAUGAAUUUAAAGUUCAAAUUAGUAUUGCCGAGUUCGUUUCGAGGACGAAACUCUUUAAGGUGGGGAGAAUGUAAGGGAAGUGAAUUCUCGAAAUCCGAGGAUUAGACUUCGUUGGGAAUCGACUAAUUGUCGAGUGUGUAAGCUUCGGAAAGUCUGAAUGUGGUAAUAAUGCGUAAAGUGCAUUGAGGUAAUGUCCGCGAGAGCACCAGUGCAAAAGCUGCACUGGAGCAGAAAUGCUCUCGGGGACCGGUCCCUGGCAGGGAGGGACCGGUCCCAUCGGGCUGGGCUGCGGGGGUCUCUGAUGAGACCGGUCCCUGGUGGUCCCUGGCAGGCAGGGACCGGUUCCCGAACGUUAGCCUAGCGAGAAUUAGCCGAAAUUUGGCUAAGUCCCGAGAACCCAGCUCUCGGGAACCGGUCUCUCAGACAAGGACCGGUCUCCCGAGGACCGGUCUCUCAAGCAGGGACCGAUUCCAGAACGCGAAAUCCCCUAUGCCCGAAGGUGCAGCUCUCGGGGACCGGUCUCCCCGAGCUGGGACCAGUCCCUCACUGCGAAAAUGGCCCAGGGAGGGCUGUUUCAGGAAAUGAAAAGUUGAGGGGGCUAUCUGCAAAAUAACCUAUAUGAAGGCUUGGGGACCUCUCUCUCCCUCUUAUUUGCUCUCUCUCCCUUUCACACUCUUUUCUUCUCUCUCUCUAGGAGAGAAAAGAAGGAGAAGAAGAAGGAAAAGGAGAGAAAGGAGAAGAAGUAGGAGAAGAAGAAGACAAAGGUGGAGAUCACCUUCCUCAUCUACUUCUUCUUCUUGGACUAAGCUUUUGAAGGUAAGCUUUUAACCCUACCAUGGUGGAUUUUUUGGAUUAGGGUUUUGUGGUUUAGAAGUGGUUCAAAUAGAACCUAUUGAAGCUAGGGAGAAGGUUCGAGCUCGAAAUUGAAGAUCGCAUCGUAGAUUUCUCCAUUAUUGAGACCUAAGGCUCCGAUUUGGGAUUUUGGCAAGUUUAGGGUUUUGAUCUAAUGUGAGAGGUUGUAAACCUAAUUGCUAGGUCCCUGAACGCGUCGGCGAAGACGGUUCGUCNAGCCGCCCCAGACCCCCUCGGGCCGAGGCGAGCUUGCGACACCCUCCCUGCGUCGCUGCCGCGUGGGACCACACCCAAGGCAUCCCUCCGGCCUCGGACAACCCUCCGCUGCCAUCCUGGAGCUCCGCGGCCGCCGCCGUGCCCGUCAUUGCCCGCGGAACCCGACCUGAGCCUAUGCGGGCUUGCCUUGCUCCGCCGUUGCCGCCGCCGCUCUCCGCCGCUGUCUGAGAUGAGAACCUCACUCCUCACCUCCCCCGCACCCAUCCCUGGCCCGCGCGCACCUCGCCGUGUCGCCGGAAGUCGGCCGGAGCAAGCUUGCUCCGGCCAAGCCCGAAAUAGGAUUGUUUAUGGGAUGUUUACUGUUCCGAGCUUCCCGAGCCUCCCCGAUCUCUACGGUAGGGAGCACGAUGAUCCUGGCAAGUUGCUGGUCAUCGUGCUCACCUUGGUUUUUGUCGGGAAGGCCCCGUUCCGCUGUUUUUGCGGUGUCGACCCUGUGGAGCCUUUUUGGUUGUUGUUCUGGGUUUGUGCGUGCGUUUCCGGCGAUCCGAGGCUAUUCCGAUGCCUCCGGAGGUGAGCACGGUGAUCGCUGGUCAGUGCUGAUCACAGUGCUUACCUUACCUUGGAUCAGCAGUGUCCGGUUAGCCCUGUUUGGUGCGUUUUUCCGUGGCUGCGCACUAUUUGCUGAAACUUCGGGUUGCCCCCGCGCUUCCCACAGCGAGCCGUUGUGCUCCGGAUCAUGAGCACGGCCUCCGGUACGUCGAGACCUGUCAGUACGUGUCUCUGCAGACUUUGGAAGUCCUCGGUUUGUGUGAACGAGCCACUUGAUCGCUCAAAUUACAUAAAAUGAUAGGAUUUUAUGUAAUUAGAGGGACUUUUGUGCAAUUGUGCACCCUAGGGCCACUGUGGACAGUGUGUAUGAGUGUGUUUGACCUCUGGACUGAUUGUCCAUGAUCCGUUAGCUUUUGCGAAAAUCGAAGAGUCGAUUUCAGUGCGUUUUUCGGCGAAAUUCGCCCAAAGAACGCGGUUUCGGUUCGGAUUUCCUCCGACGUGGUUUGUUUGUCUUGUGUGUGGUCGCUGAGCCUUGUUGGCUAGUCACCAUCAUCAUUUUGUAGGUUCGGUGAUGAUGGGUGAGCGACGGUGGGUUCCGGUGUCGAAAUAGACAUUUUUCGGAACCCGAAUUCGUACAAUUAUCCGGUGAUAAUUGUGUAGUGUUGUUAUCUUGUGUUUGCUGCCAAAACAUCCAAAUCGGAGUGUUCUGGUGCGGCAGGUAACUCGUGGCACGAGUCGGUGAACUUCGGGACACUUAAUGAGUCCCGACGGCAUCCCGGUGUGAUUUUUGGGACUUUCGGUGAGUUACGGUGGUCGGUUUGGGAAACCGAUUCAUGGAUCUUUUGUGGAGAUUUGUGAGAUUAUGUACUUCAUGUUAGUGGGUUGGAUACUGACCUAGUGGAUCUUCGUAGGUCUGGUCGACUUGUGUGCAUCUAGGUUUUCCGACGCGACAGUGACAGGUGGGUACUUCGAUCCGACGUUGGUACAGUGGUGCACGCUCGGUGAUGGUUUCUUACCCUUACUCUUCUGUUGUUACUAUUGCAUAGUAUAUUUUGAGCCCUGCACCCAUGAUUAUUCCAGUAUACUCUACUCGUUGUUUGCAUGCUUAGUAUUCUUAGUAGGAGUAGAGUAGUUCUAUAUAUAUGCAUAUCUGUUGUUCUGGUUGAUCGUGGUUCGGAGUGGUACGCCCUUGUUUCUGGCUUCGGCCUAGGCACUGGCUUCAGCCAGUUUUUGUAUUCAGCAUACCAGUAUGACUUAGUCACAGUACUUGGGGGUAUUCACGACACUGGGUCAGUUUGGCCACCGACCGGAGGUGUGCUUAUCCGGAUGGGUCGUCCUGUGGGGCGGGUGAAUCAGGUCCGUGCAGAUCAGUGACAGGCAACGCUUGAGGUCUGCGGACCAAUAUAGCAGCAUCAGAUUAGGUAUAGUUUUGGUUUGGUUACAUUGAGGCAUACUUGACUUUGCAUUCCUUACAGUAGCAGUAUUGUUUAUUACUUCUUCUUUAUCUGUUAUAGCUACUGUAGUUCCUUUAUAUCAGCAUCAGUAUUUGUUUACCAUAUUGUUAUAUAUCUCUUCCUGAUCCGGUGAGUACUCCUCGCCUUCAUCGGCUUGCGGUACCCACUGGGAGGGGAGACAUGUUUACAUGUUUUCACCUCCCCCACCAUUUUUUCAGGUAUCGCCGGUGGUGAGAGUUGAGACGAGACGUGAGACACGUUCGUAGUGGUCGCUAGAGCUUCCGACCCAGUUUGUUGGUUUAGUUCCUACCCUAUUUACUUUGGUUAUUAAUAGUUUUGAUAUUACAUGGUUCAGUUAGAGGAUCAUACUUGAUGUUUGAAUGCUCGUGGAUUGGCUUCUAUGGAUUUGUGGAUUUGGUUUAUGGAUUUUCAGUUUUGGAUGUCUGUGUACUUUGUGGCUCUCAGAUCUGUAUUUAUAGAUUUACGAAUCGUGGUUUUCUACCCCUCGAGGUAGUCGAUUUUCAAAAUAGAGUUUCCGAGUGGGAAACAGUUUUAAAAGAGAUUCUCGAAUGUCUUUUAUGAAUGAAAUAGAUUUCUAAAACAAAGCUUCCGGGUGGAGAGCACUUUUAAAUAGGAUGAUUGUUGCACUGUGCAUUAUAUCAUCCAGCGCCUAAGGAGUGCUUAGAGGCAUGCAUCAUCUCUAAGGAUCGUUAGCUGUAUGGAAAUGCAUAUCAUGAUUUGGUUGCUGAUUGGUAAAUGUAGGUUGUGAUUGAGAUCCUGUUGUAUAGCUGGUACGCCGUACAAAUACAAAGGAGACUCUGUCCGAGUGGACAGAGGAACUUGGUAUUUGUGGCGGGUCUGUACGUCACGUGGGCCAGGUUGAGAAAAAAAAAGAGAAAGAAAUGGCACGUUUUUCGCAACUCUGAAUUUCAAAAUGGAAUGAAUUUUAAAAAGGCUUUUAAAAUCGGCCCCGGGGCGUGACAUGGAUCUUUUAAUGGUGUAGAUUAUGUUGGUUUGGAUUUAAAUUUUAAAAUUUUUAAAAAUCAAUUAGAAUUGGACUUUAUAUAUACACGGAAGGCUACCACGCACAGAUGCCGCUAUAGGGAAGGGCAAGAAGUAGAGAAUAAAGAAGAAGAAUAAGAAAAGUUGCACUGUUUGAGACCAAAUUGCAUUGUUUGAGGUUACGUUGUAUCAUAAAACUAUUUGAGAAUAAGCUAAAUCACAAAAUAUAGAAGUUGCACUGUUUGAUACUAAAUUGCAUUGUUUAAGAGUUAAUUUGCAUGGUUUGAGAAGUUGCAAUUUAGUCUCAAAUAGUUUUAAACUAGUGAAGGCCCGCGCUUCGCUACGGGAAAUUUACGCAUUUUUUAAAAUAUUUUCAACAAAUUAAUAUAUUUCUAUAUUUAUGUUGCUAUCAUUUAUUUUUAAAAAUUUUAAAUUUAAAUUUUUUAAUUUUCAAAUCUAAUCUUAAAUUUUAAACUUUAACAAAUUAAAGAGCUAAAAAAAAUUAAAAAAAUUAUUUAAAUAGAGAGUAAUAAAAAAUAAUUUGAAAAUUGAAGAGAGCAGAGAGAGGGAAAAAACAAAAAGAGCAUUGUCCGCGCCGCGCCCGCGCCCCGCCCGCCGCUCACAGGCGUGUCCGGCCACACCGCGGGCCCGCCACGCUGCGCUGUAUUUUUUUAUUCCAUAAAUUAAAGAAAACAAUUAAAGAAGAGAACAAAAAAUACAAAAAAUUUAGAAAAAAGGUUAAUUUUACAUUAAAAAAAAAUAAAUAGUAAUUUGCUCUUCCAAGGGUAUAUAUAUAUAGAUAAUUUUAUUUAUAUAUAUAUAUAUAUAUAGCGACCGGGCGUCGUGCCCGUGCCCCGCGCCGGAGCCCGCGCCUCCGCCUCCCGCUGCCGAACGCUCGCGCCGCCCACUCGCACUGGGGAGAGGGGGAGAGAGGUGCCCGUGUCCCGCGCCGUCGCCCCUCCGCUCGUGCCUGCCCGUGCCGUCGCCCACCCUCGCCCACGCCGCGCCCGCGGCCCGUGCCGGACCACCCACACUGGGUGUAUCUGCGUUCGAGCGCCCGCGCCGGCUCACGGCCCCGCCCUCUCGCGACCGUCGCCCGCGUCCAAGGCUGCUCGCCUCGCUCCGCUUCGGCCCGCGCACCCGCCUGCGCCAGCCGCGUGCCCACGCCGGUCCCAGAGGCCUGCGCCUCGGCCCCUCGGCUCGCGCCCACCCGCUCGGCCUCUCGUUCGCGCCAGCGCCCGCCCUCGCUCAAGCCCCGCGCCCGCGCCCCCGAGGAGAGGGGUGAGAGGGGAUCUAGAGAGUGGGGAAGUGAGAGAGACCGAGUAGAGAGGGAAAGAGGAGGGGUGGGUGUGGAGAGAGAGAAAGUGUAGGAGAGGGAGGAAGAGAGAGAGAGAGGGGGGAGAGAGAGAGGGUGUGAAGAGAGAGAGAUAGAGAGAGGGGGAGAGAUGGUGUGAAGAGAGAGGGGAAAAGAGAGAGAGUGUGAGAGAGAGAGAGAGAGAGAGAGAGAGAGAGAUAGGGCCAGCUGGCAGUGGAGGGAAAGGGAGAGAGGCUCGGUGGGAGAAGAGGGAGGGAGAGAAAGGCUCGGAUGAAUGAAACAAAUGUAGAAGCGCCACGUAGGAUCGGACAGAGUCCCAAAUGGUAGAUUGUACAGAUGAUACAGCUUAAAUCUAAUCAAUGCAACUUAGUUUUAAAAUUGUGCAACUUCUAUUUUAUGUGGUACCACUUAAUCCCAAAUAGUUUUAAAUGAAACAACUUAGUCUUAAACAGCAACUUAGUCUCAAAUAGUAUAAUUUUUUUUUUUUCUUCUUUACUUCUUGGCUUUUUCUGUAGCUACUAUGACAUAUGUUGGCCUUCAGACGAGAAGAAAAAUUUUUUUUUCUUCCUUUUCUUCCAUCCUCUGCAUCUUUUUCUGCUACAACACCCCUUCUCUCGCCCUCUGUCGCAGUUGGCGCCCCCACCCUAACACGCUCUCUCUUCCCAUCCUCCUCAAAUCCACGGCACCCUCGUCGUCAUCGCCAUCCACGGCCACGCACUUUGUUGCAGCCUAACCUCCCGGAUUUGUGCCAUAUCCUAGGCUGUGCCGUUGUUGCCGGCGUCUGCAGUGGUGUGGGCAAGGUAGGAGAGAGAAGCGAGACACCGACACGGGGGCAGUGGAGGAGAAUGAAGGAUAGGAAGCAAAAGAAGAAAGAGAGAAAGAACUAGCUAGGAGGAGAAAGCAGAAGAGAUGAGAAAAAUGAACGAGAGAGAAAGAGAAAUAAAGGUAUUCCUGUUAAUUUACUAAAAAUCCAGGCCUAAUUUGCAAAAUUUAAAAAAAUGGUCUAUUUUUGCAAAGACACAAAAUCGUGAAUUUUUAAUGCGGAUUGGCCAAAUAUCAAACAUCGUAAAUUUUUUUUUGUUGAGUAAAUAAAGAAUACUUCUAAAAGUAAACCGAAUUGUUUACAAUGUUAUUUCUAGAGUCGGGGCAUCCAAAUCAACCAUCAACAGUGCUUAACACGAUCUAAGUUAUUUGAACUUCACAAGAUACCGAAUUUUACAACUUCACCGCAUCAUUAACUGGAGAUCAAAUAGUCUAAAAAAUUUACCUAAUACUAGCCAUUAGAAAUUAUUAAUUUUAGAAUUGCAUAAAUAUUAGGCAAAUAAUGUCAACAAAUUAAGAGAUUUGGAUUUUAGAAAAUUCAAAUAGCUUAUAUCAUAUUAAAUGGCGCCGAUCAUUUACAUUAGAUGUUCUGUUGCUGGGACUGACAUGGAAGUAAAUGAUAUCAUUUUCUUCUCAAAAUAUUUUAGCAUUGCACUACUUCUAACAUUAGAAAAUAAUUAAUAGAAGAAAUAUACUAGACCAAAGAGUGAUAUUUAGAAGAAAUAUACUAGACCAAAGAGUGAUAUUUAGAAGUAAAUGAUAUCAUUUUCUUCUCAAAAUAUUUUAGCAUUGCACUACUUCAGAUGGAAGCUUGAGAUACUUGUCGUCUCGAGUUUCGCGGACGAAACUCCUUUUUAGGAGGGGUGAAUGUAACACACUGGACCUUUGCAAAUUGCAAGGUUCGAGUGUUUGGAUGUAUUUCGAGUUUUUCCACACUUAGUGGGGGGUUGUAGAAUGUUCUCCGACCUAAAAAGUUCGAAAAUCGGAAUUCUGGAUAAGUCCUGAGAGUUUUUACUCUCGGGGACCGGUCCCUGGAAGGAGAGACCGGUCCCCCAGUGAGCAGUGUUGAGGCAGCCUGAGGCAACCGGUCCCCGAGCGCGUCUUCGCAUUGAGAGACCGGUCCUGCGCGGGGAGAGACCGGUUCCCGAACGCUGGUUUUUCGGGUUCGCAGCGAGAGACCGGUCCCUGCUGGGGAGAGACCGGUCCCUCUGGGCGAAAACUGCCCAGACCGGGCUGAUGCAAUAUUGGAUUUUUGAGAGCCUGGUUGGAUUUUUUAAUUAGAGGUCUAAUAUGACGACCCGUCCACCCUCUCUUCUCCUCAUUUCCUUCUCUCAACUUCUCCACACCCUUGGAUAGAGAAGAAAGAAGAAGGAAAAGAGAAGAAUGAGGGAAGGAGAAGACGCUUGGAGCUACUGUGGACUGGGGGCAUCGUUCUCACCUUCUCAAUCCUCCUUGGUGCUUGAAGGCGUCUGGACUUGACAGCUUGCAAAAGGAGAUCGUUCACUUAGACUUAUUGGAGCCUUCUAAGCGAGUUUGUUGCUCAUUCGCCUCCUCAGAACCUAGUUUGAAAGGAUUUUGAAUAGACUGGAACUCUAGUUUUGAGAUUUAGGGUUUAUUUUGGGCUUUUUGAACUAGGGCUUUGGCUUGAUUGGCUUGUUAGAACCUUCUCUACGGCUUGGAUUGGAAGGGUUCUAGUCUCCUUUUGAGAUUGUGAAGAGAUUUUUCUUCCUUUUGAGGUGAGUUUUAGGCCAUGUUUUGCUUCUAGGUUAAUGUUUGAUAUUAUAAUAUGUCGUAAAUGCCCUCCGUAUCUCUUCGCUAUAUCACUUUUAGGGUAUUUUUGAGACCGGUACAAACUUUGUUCGCUAAUCGAGGCACAUACGCGACGUCGUUUCGGUGGUUAUGACCUAGCCACCAGGCAUGGAAAAUUCUCAUUUUGUGCUUGAUUAAGAUCGUUUAAAUGAAAAAGCUAUGCAUAUCUGUUACAAUGUUUUAUGUGAAUUUAGAAAUGACUUAAAAUAUGCCCAUGGCUAUAUGUAAUGGAAAUUUUUAGACUCUAUUAGUGAGAGUGCUUGAGAGAGAGUUGGUUGAUUCGAUUCUAUACGAGAUUUGUUUCAUGUUUCUAUAGUGAAAUGAGUUCGAAUUCAUGCAUUUAAACUUAAGUCUUAUCGACAUGAAAGAUGAUAAACGUUGCCAUAAAUAGAGGAAUUGAGCUAGAGUAUGUGAUACUAAGCGAGUUAAUGCCAUCAAGCGACAUGAGCUCGGACAUCGUGUUGAAGCUAGUGGAUAGGGUCAUGAUGGACUUGGAUGCACGUUGGUACAUUCAAAUUGCGCUAAGUGUCAUCAAGGGGCACUUAGGCGUAGCAAAAGCUGAAAUAUCACAUUUGGACUUAAACUAGAGAAUCUCGGGAUGCUAAGUGACUAUACCAAUGUUAUGAGACAUGCAGGAUCGGAUAUUUUGAGACUUGGCUAUGCUGCUUGUGCCAUUUGUGCUCAUUCGCACAUGCUUUUGAGGCGUCGGCUCCCUACGAAGCCGGCACUCCGGAGUUAGCCUACGCGACUUAUGUUCGUCGUGACGUGGCGUAUUAGAAAGCCUAAACGGGUCGAAGUGGAAGACACAUUCCCUAAGAUAAGCGAUGUCGGGCUACCACAGGCAACUUAGGCGGCACGAAGCUGACUACCUUGGUUAGGUCUGCUAAGAAUGGAAAUCGACAAGGUGUUGAAUAUAAACAAUCACCUACUAGAUAGGUUAGUGUAGUUUGGAUUACGUUUGAACACGCUCAUGAUAUAUGCAUCGGACAUUUAGUAUACUUGCCGGUUUCAUUAUUGGCAUCGUAGUAUAUCAUCAGUUGUUUGGUAGAGUUUACCGUUAUUACAUUGGAAGAUUGCACUCGCGAAGUUACUACUUGGUUUAUUAUUCUUGAGAAAUAUUAGUAUGCAUGACAUAUUACCUAUAUAGAGUAGCCGUAGAUGUACAUUUUGGUUGACAUCAUGCUUACUUGAGACACAGUAGACUAGCAUUUCAAUUAUGCUUUCUUUCAGCAGUUUAUUUACAUGCUCCUUAUUGCUUAUUAUUAUUAUCGUUGCUUACCCUUGUUUUUGGGGCCUAGUGGAGCAGGAGCUGAGGUCAGUAAUUGCCCACUGGGAACUAUAAAUUAUAGUUCUCACGCCCUCUUUUUCUCGAUGUUUUUCAGAGCCUUCCACGCAGGGAGAGGCCAGGGAUCGCGGAAAGGGUAUCGCCUCGGGCUAGCGUGCUUACCGAGGGAUCGAUAGGUGGUGUACCUCUCGUGUUUUCUUUUUGUGAGAGGUUAAGAGUUGUACCCGUAUAUGUAUAGAGACCACCAUUUUGUACUUGAGGCAGUUUUUGUACUACUUAUUGUUCCUUUUAUUGUCUAGCUUUAUUUCUAUACUUUAGUGUAGAUGAUAGAACUUUACUCGCUCUGAUAUCAUUAGUUGCUUGUUAUUUCACUUCUUUUAUUUGUUCUAUCUCUUGCUUUACUUCCGCUUUUGAUUGUAGACGCCUUAUAUGUGUUGACAUAUGGCGGGUCUGGGCGCGCUACCGGGAGGGCCUCCGCCGGUCCCGGGGCGUGACAGUGACAACAAGAAUUACAAAACGAUGUGAUUAUCAAAUUUGACCAAAUCAAAUUGAAGAAAAUUCAAGUUCCAUAAAUAUCCUAUUAGGUCCAUCUCCUCUGCCCCGAUUAUAAUGUUGUCAAGUUGCUAAACUCUUUCUUUAUUCCGGUAGUGUCCUUCUAUUUUUUUCUAGAUGUCAAAUAAAAUUUUUAUACACUGAAGAUCAUACCAUCUUAGGGCAGUUGGUACAUCUCUUUCUUCGAGAGCUGUGUUUUGAUAUCGAAUGCGCAUAUAUAACCUACGGACGUAUUCGAAAGGAAAGCAUAUUGUAUUUAGAUCUAAAGAAUUAAAACUUCAUUUAAGGACACUUUUUAUUAAAGUUUUCCCAAAUCCGGUCCAUGGUGGGCCAUACUCGGACAAUAUGCCAAUAACUGCUCUUUCAUACGCCCGGUCUACUGGACCGGGUCCACGAAAUCACUUCUCCAGCUCCAGCGAACGAGUCCUUCAAACAAUAGUAAACAAAACCGCUUCUCCUCUUCUUCUUCUUCCUCCUCCUCCUCCUCUCUCUCUCUCUCUCUCUCUCUCUCUCUCUCUCUAGAGAGAGCAAUGGUGGUGCCCUUAACAAUGGCGGAUCUCUCCCAGAGGGCGAUCCUGCUGCGGGACUCGCUCCAGAAGAGCACCGCCAACACGCGGGGAAUGGUCGCCAUCCUCGGCUCCUUCGACCACCGCCUCUCCGCCCUCGAUGCCGCCAUGCGCCCCACCCAAGUAAAAAAAACCAUAAUCGCCCACUCCGAUCUCUUCUUUUUCGUAGAGAUCGCUUGAUCGAUCGAUCGGAGAUGAUGCUUUGCGUAGUGUUUGAUUCGUGCGAAUCUACGAACGAUUGGUGCAGGUGAGGACGCACGCGAUCCGGAUGGCGCACGAGAACAUCGACAAGACGCUCAAGGCCGCGGAGGUGAUCCUCGCGCAGUUCGAUCUCGCGCGCCAGGUUGGGGUUCGCAAAUUCUGCUUUUUAGCUCGUUUUCUAGUUAGAAUGAGCAAUUUGUACUUGGUGUAGAAGUUUUUGAUGUAUAUAGGAAGCACUAUGGUGAUUGAGUAAGAUUAGAUUGAAGAGACUUGGUUUCAAUGUGAAAUGGAGUUGAGACGUACACUCACAUCUGAGGAUUUCGAGCUGGGUGGAAUCACUAUAAAUGAUGGGAGUUUCAAUGUGAUCUAGUUUAACAGGCAUAGGGAAUUUUUGAUAGAUUGGAAAUAUUAAGCUUUCAAUUCCACGUUCAUUGGUGAAUUAUUUAGGAUGAAUUAUUUUGCAAAUUGCUUUCACUUUAAUUUCUAAAGCUUUAAUUCUUCUCAAUUGAUGGCUCAACUUCAUAAAGUGAUUCAUUUAACUCCCCGCAACUUCAGUCAAAGGCAGUGGAAGAGCUCUUGAUAUGUUAAUACAAUCACUUAAGUCAAAGAUUCUGUGGCAUUUUUCAGCAUUUAAUGGGGCUGCCUAUACAUGUGGGAAAGUAUAUAGGCAAUGUUUGUAUGUGGAACAAUAUGAUCAGCAAUAUUGAAGUCUUCCAAUGUGCAAACAUUGGGUUGGUACCUUUCUAUAUAUGCAAGAUGUUGUUAGUAUCAAGAAGCUUGCAAUUUGAAUGCUGAUGGCUUCUUUAUUUUUUCCUGUGCUAUUUUGCAUUAUGGGAUUUAGGCCGAGGCUACGAUACUAAGGGGUCCACAUGAGGAUCUAGAAAGCUAUCUAGCAGCUAUUGACGUAUUGAAGAGCAUUGUCCAUUAUUUUACCUCAAAUAAGAACUUAAAGAGCAGUGAUGGAGUUCUGAACCAUGUCAACAACUUGCUAGCCAAGUCUGUAGUCAAGUUGGAGGAGGAAUUCGGGCAGCUCUUAGCUUCUUACAGGUUCGUUUCUCAAAAUUAUUGCUCUUUAACGAAUCUUCUCUUUCUUCCUCCUCUUACAAUGUGUCCAUUCUAACAUAAGAAUUAUCUUUGGUGGGUUUUAUUUAAUGUAACUGUAAGAUAUAUAUUCGUAGUAUUAUAUCUCUUGUACUUGUGUGACCGUCAAUGGCAAGGAUUUAGGUGUCCAUCGGCACAUGCUGUAUUUAACAUGUCGUAUCGUGCCAAUAAGAUAUCGGCACGAUACAGCACCUGUGCCGAUGACAUAGCUCAAAAACUUAUAUUUUUUAAAUUAGUAAGUAAUUUUCUCAAUAAAGUUCAAAAGAUUUGAUAAAUAUACAUAAUAAACAGUUAGAAUAUUUUGUUGCUAAAGAAAAUAAAUAUUUCAUGCUAUUAUGUAUCGACACACAUGAAUUUUUUAUGCCCGGCACGUACCGUGUAAUACCAUGCCGGCAAGUUUCCAGUACGACCCCAUGCCACGCACUUAAAUCCUUGGUCAGUGGGAUAAAGAUGCUUGAGUCUUGACUUUAGGUAUUAGCGGGAUAUAUCAGUGAUCACUUUUUAUAGAUAUGAAAAUCAUUUUAUGUACUUUUAUCUUUUGAUAUGCAGAGUAGACUAAUAAUGCAGUAGCUUGUUAAGAUCUCAAAGUCGACCUUCAAUACUGCUAUUAUUUUCUGCUGCAAGUGUUAAAUUGCAAAGAUCCCAAAUGUUUGAAACUUCAGCUUACAUGAGAAAAAAGCAUUGAUGUAUGUCCGUGCAUUUAGAUCAGAGAAAUCAUCUUGCCUAACACCAAAUGGUAGAUUACUCGUGGUUCAUGCUCGCAACAUAAAAAACCGUCAGUGAACAUGUUGCACACUAGGUUCUCUUUGCUAAGAAUAACAUCUAUUGCUUUUAAUAAGAUGCAAAUGAUCUGACAAAAAGUGUUGAAGUUGUAAGAAAAUUGCAUGUACACAGCAGAAGAAAAACGGCAAUUAAAAUUUUCUAAACCAAAAUCACCUUGUGUUUCAUUUUUAGAACUUAAACAAUAGAUCAAACUAAUCUAAUUAGAUGAGGUUUAGUUUUUCAUCUUGCACAUGUCGAGAGGACCACGAAGUCGACGAUCGUUGGUAAAAACUAUUUGUCCUCAUUAGCCUUGGACGUGCCCGACGUCUAGUCGCGUCCACACGAGAUCACAUCUUCAAUCGAACUAAUCAACGCCUUCUAUCCGCGAUCCGAUCACGAACUGAUGCUUUUGUCGUUUUGAGGGAGGUGAAUCAGUUUUUGGAUAUACUAGCAACCUGAAGAUCGAUGCUGGUGGAUUAAUGGUGAAGGACUUGAGGAAGAGGGACAAGAUUGACGGCUAUGAUUUUCUAUUUCUCUUGUAUUAAAUUAUUAUUUUUUUAACAUGUCAGACAUGUAUUUAUGAUGAGAAAACCCCUAGCCUAUUCCUAAUUCUAAUCGGAAUUCUAAUCCGAUUAGAUUAUCUAUUAAUCCCUCAAGCUGGUUUUAAUUUAAACCAAAUUCGGAUCCAGAUCCUAAUCCGAUUCGCAUGUAACAUUUAUAUAUAAGUCCUCAUAUUAUUUACUAACGAUUAGUAAAUACACCAUGCAAGUAAAUUUUUAAUUCAUUUUGCUUGAGAAUUUUUCCUACAUUAAAAAUCAAUAUAUUUGAGUAAAAAUAGUGUCGGACUAUUUGAGGAACUUAAUGCAAUGUAGUUCAUGUUGAUGUUUUCCCAUUCCUUGAUUUUUUUUUUUCUUGUUCUUUUGCUUUCAGCAAACCUAUUGAGCCUGAUCGUCUAUUUAAUUGCCUUCCCAACUAUUUGCGACCGUCAGCAGUGGACCAACGUGAAAAUGGUAAGAACCAUCGCUCCGAGCAUUCUGCCAAAAGCUCGGAGGGCGCUGUUUAUAAACCUCCAACUCUCAUUCCUCCACGCAUUUUACCUCUGCUGCAUGACUUAGCCCAUCAAUUAGUUCAAGCUGGGCACCAACAGCAGUGCUUCAAAAUAUACAGGUACAACUCAAAGCUGUUCUGUUUUUCUUCGCAUUCAGGACUUCUUGUCAAGAUUUAUUUCAAUCUCAAUUUGGUUAUUUACUUUCUGGUGAAAGACUACACUACCUUGCGUUAACCACGUCGCAGGUUUUGGUGAUGCGACAUUUAAGUUUACAGGACAAAUUCUGGGUACCUUAGUAAAUAAACUAAACAAGUUUUAUGUUAAGAAGUGUCAAAAAAAAAAAGAACAUGUAGUUUCUGAAGAGAGAACUAAACAGUGAUACACCUUUUUGGUUGCAUUGUUGCAUUGUGGACAUGCAUGUAUCUACAUAUUCACUUAUGCGUAUUUCUACAUGGUGUGCGCAAGUGAAAUGUUUUUGAUCACCCAUUGCAUGAUGGAAGUGCUUCGGUAAUGUCGCCAAGAAAAUGCUAUUUCUUCUUGAUGAUGGAUUAAUUAGAUUUCUAUUGGAUCAAAUCAUCAGAGAUUACAGCAUUUUGGCACUCGUAUAACUAAGAAAUUGGAACAGGGAACGAAAGUGGCUAUGCAACUCACCACGACUCUGAUCAGGUUCUCUGAUACCUCAAGAAAGAUCUUGUGCUAAUUAAAUUUGUGCUGUCUUCUGCUAUAAUCCAAACAAAUCUACAAGAACCUUAGGUUGGUCAUCACUUGAUUCAAGGAGCACCUCAAAUCCACGAUGGAAACUUAAAAUUCACAAGCAAGAUGAAAAUAAUAUGUGCAGUUGUUUCUGUCCUUAAACAUCAUAAUUGAAGUAGUGGAGAUAAGUUUCAUGAUGAUUCUAGGGUAGCAUAUGCAAAACUAUCAAUAAAUAGUUGUAGAAUGCCUAGGUUUUCCCUGGAAUUGUUUCAAGGUAGAGGGAAGGCUAUUGGGAAGAGCGAUGGCUCAAAACAUCUGUAAGGCUCGUAAGGAAACUAGAAAUCCCUAAGCAUUUAUUAGCUGGGAUUUGAGUUAGAAUCAAUUUAAAAAAUCUAGUACAGACCCUGCAUUAUGUACGAUAGAAUCAUGGCAUGAGAGACCAAACCGAGAAGAGAUUACUUGCUCUCUCCAAAGCAGAUUUUCUGCCAUUCGGCUUUAACCAAUUACCAAUUCUGGAGUCUGCACUCUAAUUUGGACUGUAGGACUAUCCAUUUGCAGAGAAACUGCAAUACUUUGCUCACCCCCAAGAGGCUUUGGAAUUUGACAAGAAAUCCUCUCUAAAUAUGAUUCUACUUGAUCACUCUCUCAGUGUAAGUGAAUGAAAACAUACAAAUCAUACCUUAUAUGGUCUUGAGAGUGUGAAUCAAAGUCUUUUUGUCCAUUUAUCUUCGAAUUCAACUUGGCUUUGACAAAGAGUCAAACUGACCCAACUUAACUAAAUUUGCCAACACAUCAGGUUUUCUAACAGAUGAUUGGCAAAAUUGAUACCUUUUUGAUAUUGAUAUUUUUGACACGGAGGAUAAAUUCCGAUAUGGAUUGGCUUUGACUGGACAGACGGGGGGUUUUCCUUUCAAAAGUAUUAUGUAUGUGAUGAAGGUCUAGAUAAUGAUUAAUACAGAACUAUUAAAGAGGUAAAAACAUCCUUCAUCCAAAAAACUAUCCUGAUUUGUGGAAGUCUCUUAUUUGAUGACUGCCUUAAAAGCAAUUUAUCUCGUUUAUGUUACUAAGCAAUUUUUCUAUUGUCGGUAGCAGCUUUUGGUUCUCUUGAAUACCUAAUAACUCAUUUGUGUUGGUGAAAAGCAUUGUUUGCUGCUAAAUAGCUCAUCUAAUUACAAUCAUCAGUAUUACACGUUCUCCAGAUUUAUGUGUCUGUUUCUUCUUCUAGUGAAUGAAUGGCAAUUGAUUAUUCAUUUUCUUUCUUUCUUGAUUCAGAUGGACAUUCAUGUUUUUUUUUUUUUUUUUCUUUCAAUACUUUCUAAGGCAUAUACUUAAUUUCCCUUUUUGCCUUUAGCAAUGCUCGUGCUGCAGCAUUAGAAUCAAGCCUCCGGAAACUGGGUGUGGAAAAACUCAGUAAAGAAGAUGUUCAGAAGAUGCAGUGGGAGGCUUUAGAGGCCAAAAUUGGGAAUUGGGUCCACUUCAUGCGAAUUGCUGUGAGAAUCCUUUUAUGAAUCUGCUAUACAUGCGAUACCUUUUUUCUUUUUUUCCAAAUCAAUUGAUUGUGAUUAUAACAGGUCAAACUGCUCUUUGCUGGAGAACGAAAAGUUUGUGACCAGAUUUUUGAUGGUAUAAAGAUUCCCAAGGACCAAUGCUUUGGCGAAGUGACAAUGAACAGUGUAGAAACUCUUCUAAGCUUUGGUGAUGCAGUUGCUAAAAGCAAAAGGUCCCCAGAAAAGUUGUUUGUGCUGCUAGACAUGUAUGAAAUUAUGCAUGAACUACAGCCAGAGGUAUGUUAAGAAUUUUUUUCUGGAUGCUAAAUAAAAUCCAUUUAAAAUCAUCGCUAAAUCAAGUUGAGAAUCUUCUCUUAGCAACUUCUAACUCGGAAUGUCUUUUAUUUUGUCCGGUGGCCUAUUUUUUUCGUGCUGCAAAUUAAGUUUUUGAUUCUGCAUAAUAUACUUUUGCUUUUUGCGUAGUGUUCUCCAAAACUUAGGAAGAAGUAGACAGGAAGAGGAUCCAAUCCAGCUGUUAUGGUCUACCAGUUUGAAGGCAGAUACAGUUGAAAAUUUUCCACUAGAGGAAAAUCACCGAACUAAACCUUCAUGGAUGCAAAUUUUACAUGCAUGUUUGUUUAUGCAAAUUCUGAUAUUCAGCAUCUGUCGAAACUAGAGCCAGUAGAAAUUAUUGCUUCCUCAAAUCUUUGACCUUUAAUCUGAGAUUUUGAUUAAUAAGAAUUAGAUAAAUGCUUUUCAUUGUGAUUUACUACCUGUCUUGGAUUUUAAGGUGCCAUUUUUUGGCUCGUUGAGCCUUUACACUAAAAUUGUUCUUUGUGAUUUAGUUUUCUUCUCGGUUAAAAAAUCCCUUAAAGAAAUGGUCAGUUACAAGGAAUACAAUUUUAGUUAAAUUGUUCUUUCUGAUUUAAAUUAAAUAUUUUACGAUUUAAAUUAUCAUAAAUUUCUUUGAGAAUGGGGGUUUUAAUUUUAUAUCUUCCUAAUUUUACUCAUCAGUUUGAGACGAUCUUCGAGGGCAAAGCUUGUAUUGAGAUGCGCGAAUCUGUAGUGAGUUUGACUAAACGGUUGGCACAGACUGCGCAAGAAACAUUUGGUGACUUUGAAGAGCUAGUUGAAAAGGAUGCUUCAAAAACAACUGUUCUUGAUGGAACCGUCCAUCCACUUACUAGCUACGUUAUUAACUAUGUGAAGUUCUUAUUUGAGUAAGUCUAGACAUAUAUCAUCUUUCUUACCUGUUUUUGAUGAAAAGUUUACUGGCAAAUGAAAUUUAAUUAUUCCAUGGUCAUGUGCGUGCCUGUAGGCAAGUGAGCGAACUCGCUCUCGCGCACAUCUAUGCAUGCAUGUGUAUACGUGUCUUGGGAGUAAAUUAAUAUUAUCCUGCUCAUUAGGAUUAUUUCUAUCUAUUUGUUAAUCUAUCUUCACCAUUGACUCAUUGGGAAUCAUAUGUAAAAAAUUAAGGACUUAAUUCUUUCAGCAUAUCAAUUGUCAUAAAGCAUUUAAGAGACAUCAAUUGUUAUAAAGCAUUUAAGAGAUCCAUUGGGGGCAUUUAAUCUUUGCUUUCAACUACAAAAUCGCAAUGACUUGGGUUUGUUAAUUAUAAACAAUCCUUAGGUGAUUUUAUUGGAUAUUUCUAUCUUAAUUUGUCAUUCAUAAGAUGUUCGAACCUUGUUACGGGAAUCAGUAAUGUUUUACGUUGUGAAUUCAAUUGUUAUUUUUGGUGUGAAGUCAUAAAUCAUCUGGUGAUUACAAAUUUUUAUGUUUUAACUCCGUCCUAUCGUAAAGGAAAUAUCCACUUUUAGUAGUUUCUUGUUGAUAUAACCUUCUGAACGUGAACUGACGAAGUUGUACUUCUUAACUAUGCGCAGUUAUCAGUCAACAUUGAAGCAACUAUUCAUGGAGUUUGAAACUGGGAGUGAAACAGUGUCUCAACUGGCGAUAGUUACAACAAGGAUUAUGCAGGCUCUUCAGAAUAACCUAGACGGAAAAUCUAAGCUGUACAGAGAUCCGGCUUUGACUUACCUGUUUCUUAUGAACAACACCCAUUAUAUGGUUAGAUCUGUGCGGAGGUGUGUGUAUUACUAUUUUGCAUCUGACUUUAAUAGGGUUUUAAUUUUAUUUUUUUUAUUUUUUUUGGAAAUAUACCAUUCAAAAUCGAGAAAACUGCAAAAUUUAACCUUCAAAGUUGGUAUCUGCAUGUGUGCCCAGCAAAACUGAGUGAAUUUAUUUUGCAUUAGUAUCCCUGCUGGGGGCACGCAUGCAAAAGCUGUUUUUGCAUGGAGGGGCAUACAUGCAAAUACCAACUUUUGCCAAAAACACAACAAAAUAUGGAACUUUCCCAGGGACACUUGGUAUGUAUAUGUUUCCAGGUCAGAAGCAAAGGACAUACUGGGUGAUGACUGGAUCCAAAGACAUCGAAGGAUUGUUCAACAAAAUGCAAAUCAGUAUAGAAGGAUUGCUUGGAGCAAGGUUUGUCGAUAAACAAAAUCUGUAAAAUUUUCUCCUCCUUUCCUGAUUGAUUCUUUGACGCCGAAAUUUAUAUGAUGGGCUAUUUAAUAUUUAUCAUAGUAUUCUGUUGAGUCCAUAGCAUUUGAAGUACUUUGGAGUUUUCCUUAUUAAUUGAGUUACAUAUUUGUUUUUUUUUCUAAAGAGCAUUUUCUUACUAUCACUGUAUUUAUCCUUGACUAAUUUAAAAAUUAACACAUUCGCCCCUCUUUUCGACUCACACUUAUUCCUAGCCAUUGGAUAUAGACUGAUAUUACUACAAUCCUAUCCUUCAUAAUGGAAAGCAAACAAUAUCCCUACACGCUUGGCAUUUUUUAUCUCUUUUGUUUGUUUUUCCUUGAGCUCUUGUUGUUUUCUCCUAGGAAUGGUUUUACCUAGUUUUGCUAUUGUUCAUUGUUUGCAAACUCUAUGAUUAGUUCGUGUAAAACUACGGUAAUUUACUUUCCUUAUACUUCCUUUUCUAACAUUUUGAAAAAAAGACUAGUUUGGGGUCUAUUUAAUGAUUACGAGAAUAGAGACAUCCAUCCUUAGGCUCCUUGGAUAGUUGAAAAUUAAGAAAACAAAGCCAAGAAUCAUAAAAAAUAUCAAACAUGACCUAAAUAUGUGAUGGUAACCUUUUUUCUAGUUUUUCUGCAGUAAUUUAACUACCGUGCACUUUAUCCAGAUUCUCCAGACUCUUUCUGUUCAAGGUAUGAACUCCAGCGCCUCUAUGGCAACUGAUGGAGGUAACAGCAGUGGAGUUUCAAGAGCGGCAAUCAAAGAGCGGUCCGCACUUCAUCUCACAUAUUAUUAUCAUUUUUUUAUUUUGCCAUGGGAUUUCAAAAUUUAGUUUUCCUUUUUUUCCUCUUUUUUUUUUUUUUUUUUUUUUUUUUUUUUUUUUUUUUUUUUUUUUUUUUUUUUCAGGUUCAAGUCCUUCAAUAUGCAGUUCGAAGAGCUUCAUCAAAAGCAGUCCCAAUGGACGGUGCCAGAUCAAGAACUGCGUGAAUCUCUACGGCUUGCAGUUGCUGAAGUUCUACUACCAGCUUACAGAUCCUUCAUAAAGCGUUUUGGGUAUGUUCUUGACAAACUGAUAUUAUCUGCACUUGCAUUUAAGGCUUUUCGAAGAAGCAUUGAAAGCAUUUUGUUGUAAAGUCCGAUAAAGAGCUUCACGUAGUAGCAGAAGCAGAAGCCUUCUAACCAGCAAAAUUACUUCUCGUUUUUCUUGUGUUUCUUGUACUAGCAUUACCAUGCGAAUUAAUCUUUAAUUAAUAAUUUAUUGAAGUGAAUAGAAGGUCUAAACAACUAGAGGCACAUAUGAGGUUUACAUAUACAUUGACUAUUAAUGAUUACUGUGUUCAUCCUUGUGCACCUGCUGAGGUGGCAGUCUCUUAUUGGUGCCGUAACAACCGUUUGCCUCGUGAAUUGCACCAAAUUUACCCAAUUAAGGGGUAUAAAUCACGCAUCCUUCCACUUAUAUCUACAUUAGUCGGUGUAUAUUUCGGUAACUCUCCUGUGUCGAUAUCUAAGCUAUACUUUCUUUUAGACUUGAUAAUAUAUUUCUUUGGUUUGUAAAGUUGACAUCGUAGUGUCUAUGUGGUUUUACUUUUGAAAUAGCUUCUCCGCUUCCUACUCCGACUUGUAGGAGCUUGUAAGAGCCAGUUGCUCGGAUAACAAAUUUUUUGAGCUUUUGCUAUUGGUGGAGAGAAGAAUGAGCUUUUGGCCUCAAAAUAAGAUGCUCUAUUGAAGUUUCUGCAUAAAGUGGAAAACUUUUGACGUUGUAGUGGAAAAGUGCUUCUUUAAAGAGCUCCACUGAAAAAGCAGACCACCAAAAAUAGCAAUGCUGAAGUCUAGUAUCAAUUUCUUUGCUGCACUCAGUAUGCCUUUGGGACUCAUACUUGUCUAUCUUUUUUUAUCUCUCUUUUUUCGCAAUUAUAAUUUUUCAGGGCACUAGUUGAUAAUGGCAAGAAUCCUCAGAAAUACAUCAAAUACACUCCUGACGAGCUCGAAAAACUGCUCGGCGAGUUCUUCGAGGGAAAGAACUGAUGAACAAAGAAAAAGAAACUAAUCCUUUGUAAGAAUCCUUUCUCUUCUAUAAUUACAGCACCAGGUUUAGGGAAUGUGCAUAACUUUCUUUUCUUCGUUCUAAUACCACCUUACACAUGCUGACGAAAAACAAACCGUGGAUUCGUCCAAAAUCGAAACCUAGCAGAAUAUCAUCUCAUAUUCUUUUACUCGUGUAGCAUUAUAUACUGCUCACUAUUUUCAUGAAGACAAAAUUCAGAUUUACACGUUGAACCCUUUUUUUCUAUUAUUGUUAAUUUUGAUUUGAUAUUGAUUUGGUUUGUCCUGUGUACAUUGCUGCAGUUCUUGGUAUCUUUCUAUAGCCUUCAAUUGAUAAUCUAAAUAUUACGCAAUUUUCAAUCAGUUUUGCUAAUAUUUGGAUUUAAUAUAUAUAUAUAUAUAGAGAGAGAGAGAGAGAGAGAGUCCAGCUAUAGUGCUUAUAAAAGCACCAACCACUUGGUGCUUGUAAGUUUUUUACCAUUAUAUCUACUCCUCGGAUUAUUUUCAACCAUUAGAUUAUACUAUUCAACCAACUACCCACUCAACCCUAGAGGGUCUAUAUCAUCCUAACCGCAUAAAUUUUUGGUCACUACUCAGGUUGGAAUGGUUUUGUUUGGCUCAUCGCUUAUUGUAGAUUAUAAUAUCUAAACAGGUGCCAUGUAUUAUUAAAAUAUUUUCGAAAUAAAAAUAGUUCAUCUUGGGUCAGAAAAAGAUGAUGAAAUAAUUUUUCCUAUUUUCUUGCGACUCAGUUCACUCGAAAAGUACAUUAGAAAAGGUUACCUCAUGUAAAAAAUAGGUUUUAAGUAUCUUUGUUGGUUGUUUUGUGAAAUUUGAAUUUAAAUUUUUAGUUGAGCUCAGAUGAAAUUUACAUUGCCCUUUAUAGUGAUUCAACUCUUGUAGGGUAAAAUUUGGACCCGCCUUUUUUCGUUUUAUUCCCCUCCUCUUUUUGUAAACUCUAGCUUUUUUUUUUUUUUUUCUCUAACUUGUUUGUUUUUUCAAGUUGAGUUAUUCUCGUUGAAGAAUUGAGGAUUCCACUAGAAUUUAAAAUAGUUUCUUUAGAUAUUGAAUUUAACGAUAACGAAAAUCACUAUUUCAUCAGUUAAAAUGUAGAUAGAGCGCUAAAAUUUAGUUAAUGCCUGUUGAAUUUAAUAAAAUUUCUAGCUCAUCUAACGAAAAUAAUAUAAAGUAAAUAAAAAAGAAAAUUUAAGAGCUGGAGCUUAUCCGAAAAUAAAGUUUCUAGGAUGUAUUUCAGAAGAUGAAUAUAGUUGAGGGGUCUCUAUACAUUUUAGCCCAGACAAAUGCCUAGGUAUUGGGUAAAGAGGUGGAAAUCUGAAGCUAUUAAAAGGGUAAUUGCACUACUGGGCCCAACCUUUACCCAAUUUGUUAUUUUGGUCCUCAAUCUUUUUAAUUUGCAAUUAGGUUCUUAACCUUUAGAAUUAAUCGUACUAUUGGUACCUAACCUUUUUCAAUUUAUUCACUUUGGUCCCUAACCUUUUUGUAUAUAUAUAUAGAGAGAGAGAGAGAGAGAGAGUUGGGUUAGAAUACUAUUGAUAGCAAAAAGUAUUUUUUGCUAUCAAAUUUUUAACCUUUGGAUCAACUCCUUUCAUCAUUUCUAACUAUUAGAUUAAAUAUUAUAACCCAGUAAGGACCACUCAAUCCUGGGGAGACCACUCAAUCUUAACUGACUAAUAUCAUCCUAACUUUACAAUUUCUCAGCCAAGGGUUAAAAAUUUGAUAACAAAAAGAACUUUUUGCUAUCAGUAGUAUUUUAGCCCAACUAUAUAUAUAUAUAUAUAUAUAUAUAUUGUAUAUUCACAUACAUCAUGUUAAGCCAAUCUUACCGACUUUAAUAUUAUCCUUUACCCAGUGUAUCAGUAGUAUUAGAGCAUCAAGCGUUGUUAUCGUCGGGCAUGCCACUAAGCUCUUUCGAGAAUUUAAAGUCAAUACUGAAAUUAUCUGGAGGCUAUCGAACCACAGGUGGGGCCUAUGUGCAGAUAGGUUUUAUUUGAAUUAGAAUGAUAUAUUCCCUCAAAAUUAAUGAAAUACUCAAUAGAAAUAAAUAUGAGGUUAGGGACCGAAUAACCCAAAAAAAAAAAAAAGGUAAAAAUUAGGGACCAAUGGUGCAAUCAAUUCUAACUUUUGUAGCAGGAUCAAAAAUCGGAUCCGGAGCGAAAUAAAGUAUAAGGGUCGAUUUCAAAAUAACGCACAGUCGAGGGCUCUCCAUGCAUUUUUGCUGGUAAAAAUGCUGAUACACUGGGUAAAGAGAUGAGCAAUGUGAAGUUACCAACUUUUGAUGGAGGAAUCGAUGAUUGGAAUCAUUGGAUAAUGGAGGGAGAAGAUUCAAAAAAAAAAACAAAAACAAACAAAAACAAAAAUACAAAAAACAAAAAAAAAAAUCUGCAAAAGUAAAAGAGAAAGAGAAGCAUGUCAGUAAACAGCACAACAGCAAAUAAAGUUCUACUGGGGUUGUCAACUGCUGGGAUUCAGGACGAAUUUGAAUUUUCAAAAGUUUCAAUCCGAACCCCACUACUAAAUUCCAAAUUGAAAUUCGAAUUCGAAUUUGAAUUCCAAGGAUUUUAAACAUUUAUAUCCAAAUCUGAAUUCGACUAAAAAUUCAAAGCCUAAACCAGAACUCCAACCCGAAAACCCGAAUUCGAAAUAAUAAUUAUUAUUUUUUACAAUAUUUUAAAAUAUAUUAAAUUAAAUCUAAAUUUUUAAAAUACAAAUUCAAAUGUGAUAUCGAACGGUCAUUUUUAGGACCAUUUGAUCACUUGGUAAAUAAUAUCGAAAAAUUAUGAAAUUAGUUUCUAAAUAGUUCUAAUGGCGUGUGUCUAAUAGAGCCGAUCGUCGAAUCGGAUAUCGUAUCAUCGAAAACAACUUAUAAGCAUGGAGGCCUCUGCACUUUCAAAAGCGCAGGAAUCUAGAGCUCUCCCUCUCUCUCUAUAUAUAUAUAGAGAGAGAAUAUAGAGAGAGAGAGUCUCGCUACUAUACUAGCAAUAGUAUUGGGUUAUUUUAUUAUAUAGUUUUUAGCCGUUAUAUCUACUCUUUUAAUUAUUUCUAUUAUUGGAUCAAUACUAUUUAACCAACUAACACUAAACCCUAGAGGACCAAUAUAUAUAUAUAUAUAUAUAUAUAUAUAGAGAGAGAGAGAGAGAGAGAGAGAGAGAGAGAGAGAGAGAGAGAGAGAGAGAGAGAGAGACUACUGUACUCUUAUGAGUGUUGGGCCCUUUGUACUCAUAAAUUAUUUUCGAUGACAAAACUUCCGAAUCGACGAUCCACUCCGUUAAAUAUGAUCUAGAGUAUUUAAAACUUCUAAAAAAUAAAUUUUGUAAUUUUUCGAAAUCAUAAUAAAGUCUAUCAAGCAGGCAUAAAAUGAACGAUCAAAAUAGAAGCUGUCCUAAAAAUGAAUGAUCGGAUCCUUUAAUUUAAGAUCAGAGUUAUUGAUCUUUAUCUAGGUAGUGAAUAGAAUUUUCUAUCAAAAAGUCAAUCUAUUCCUUUUUUUUGCACCGUUAAACUAGUAAAUAUUUAGUAUCGGCCGUUAAAAAUUGUCAAUUUUGUGACCUUUUGAUCGUAAGGUAAAUGAUAUCGAAAAAUUAUGAAAUUUAAUUUUUAGAAGUUUUAAAUGCUCUAGAUAAUAUUUAACGGUAUGAAUCGUCGAUUCGGAAGCUUUAUCAUCGAAAAUAACUUAUGAAUACAAGGGCAAUCGUACUCAUAAGAGUAUAGUAGCUGGACUCCAUAUAUAUAUAUAUAUAUCACAUUUAUAUUUAUAUUCAGAAAUUUUAGACCUCACAUUGGUGACUUGUACAUAAUUUAUUAGCUACUUUUCCUUUCUAAAUAAAUGUAUACCAAAUAGCAGCUGGCUAAGAGGUUGAUGACCAGUAUUCGAGAUUUUAAGUUCGUAGUAUAUUUACUUUAUAUUCCUAACUAAGUUUGUUUUUUAAAAAAUGAACGAAGUAUGUAGCUUACUAUAUUUUUCUCUAAAAAAAAUAUUUACAUCCGUAAAUCCUUUUUAAUACACAUUACAUGCAUCUCCAUAUUGCAACUUAACUAAUUAUUAACAACAUUAUUAUAUAGUUGUNCAACCAACCACCACUCAACCCUAGGAGGUCUACUAUCAACCUAACCGUAACCACUCUCAUCCCAACCGCACAUUUUUUUCAUCUAAACGACAGAAAAAUUAUGAAUACAAAAGGCUCUAUACUCAUAUGAGUAUAGUAGCCCCAGCCUAUAUAUAUAUAUAUAUAUAUAUAUAGUCCCGCUGGGAUACUAUCGAUAGCACGAAGCAUUUGGUAAUAUCAAGUUUUCUGCCGUUAGAUUUACCUCUUUUAUCAUUUUCAUCCGUUCGAUUAUACUAUUCAACCAACCACCACUCAACCCUAGAAGACCCAUAUCAUCCUAAUCGCACAUAUUUCAAUCCAAGUGCGGAAAACUUAAUAGCACAAAGUCAUUGGUGCUAUUAAUGAUAUUCCAAUAUAUAUAUAUAUAUAUAUAUAUAUAUAUAUAUAUAUAUAUAUAUAUAUAUAUAUAUAUGGAUUCAAAUUGGAUUCGUGUUCGGAUCGGAUAGAAUCAAAAUCCAUAUCUAAUUCCAAAUUCAUCGAAUUUUCUUUUUUAAUAUCCAUAUAUCCAAAACUAUAUAUCUAUUUAGUAUCAGAUAAAGUCGCUCUUUUUCUGUUCGAAUUCAAAUAAAAUUUCGGGUAUCAUCUCUAAGUUCUACUUUGCAGCGUAGUAACAAAAUUUUUCCGAUUUCCAAAAAAUUCACAAAUAGUUUACAAAUUUUUAAUUAUCUUAAUAUUUCACUAAAUUAUUGAAAAUACUAAUAAAAAAAAAUACUAUGCAUAACCUAUUGUUUGAUAGCUAGUUCAUUCACUAAAUUAAUUAUUUCUUAUAUCUUUAACCCUCUAUUGCUUAAAUUUGAUUUUAAAAAAUUGAAUGUUUCCAUAAAAAUUUUGUGCUUCUAUAUUUUCUUCGUUCGAAAUGUUUAUAGUUUAUAAAUCCAAGCAUAUUUUGGCUAAAAUGUAAAUUAUUUUCCUAAUCAUGCGUUGCACUUAAUCUAUAUUGAUAAAAAAUAGUAAAAGUUAUAUAGAAUUUAUCAGAACUAUGAACUAUUUUGAAUUAUUACCGACCUUUCGAAAAUUUAGUUUUACUAUCCAAUCUUUUAAUUUUUUUGAUUUAAGUUAAUCAACGGCAUUUUGACUUCAAAAUCUGAGUGCAUCGUUUAUCUUUACAAGUUUAAUUAAUAUAAGUCAUAUAAUUUUCUCAACUAUAAAUUUAUUAAAAUAAAAAAUUUGUUUAAAUUUUAAAGUCAAAGUGCCGUUGAUUCAAAUCAAACAAAUUAAAAAAUUAGAUAGUAAAAUAAAAUUUUUGAAAGAUUGGAUAGUCGAUUCAAAAUAAUCUAUAAUUCAAAUAAAUUCUAUACAUUUUUAUCCAUAAGAAAUAUGCACUUAGACCUCUUCAAAUCUUUAAAUCUCAAAUACUUUUAAAUGAUACAAACAGUGCAACUUAAUCUCAAAUUGUGUAACUUCAGUUUAAUAUGGUAUAAUUUAAUCUCAAAUAGUUUUAAAUAGUACAGCUUAAUCUCAAGCAUUACAACUUCUUAUUCUUCUUUUUUUUUUCCUUUAUUUCUUGGCAUUUUCUGUAGAGGCCAUACGGCAUUAUCACCUUAUGUUUCUUUUUCUUCCUUUUCUUUCAUCCUUUACAUUUUUCUUUGUCUAUUGUGCUCGUUCCCUCGCGCUCUAUCCCAGCAAUCGCCUUCGCCUUGACACAUUCUCCUUUUCCGUCGUCCUCAAAUUCUGCGAUAGUCUCGUGGUCGUUCACGGCCACGCCCUCCGCCACAGCCUCAUCUCUGCAAUCUGUAUCAUAUCCAAACCCGCGUUGCCACUAUUGGCGUCGGCAAAAAUGUGGACAAGAUAGUAGAGAGGAGCGCAGCAUCAAGGAAGAGAAGAGAGAGAAUAAGUAGGAGGAGAAAAAUAAAAGCAAUGGUAAAAAAGAGGAAGAUGCAAAGGACAGAGAAAACGAACUAACAAGGAACGAGAGAGAAAAAAGAAUAAGAAUAUUUUAUUUGAUCUACUAAAAAUUUUGACCUAAUCUUCAAAAAUUUUAAAAAGUGAUCAAUUCUCGCAAAAACGUAAAAUCGAUGGAUUUUAUACGCAAAUUGGCUUAUAAAUAUUUUACAAUAUUAAAAAUAAAAAAUUGUAAGAUUAAAUAUAUUAAAAGAUUAUUAUUUAAGUAUCCUAUGUGAUAGUAAUGAGUAAUUAUUACACCAUGACCGUUGACAAUGCGCAAUUACUCCCACCCACGACAUUAAAUGCUCUCGCGAAAAAGGUACGAAUUUGGUUCACAUAAUUACAUAACAUAAAAUAAAAUAAAAUAACAUAAAACCCUCUUAAUCCUUUUUCAAAUUUAAAUUUGUGUUCUACAAAUCAGAUAAAAUAGCAAAUUGAUAUAUAUUAUAAAGGUUAAGAAUAUAGAAAAUUUUCUUAUAAAUAUUUUUUUUAAAAAAAUUUAUAUUUUAUUUUUAUAAUUUUAAAUUGAUGUAUUUAUUUCGCUCUGUCAAAAUUUCAUGUCUGUUCCGUUUAUUUUUUUAAUUUAAAAAUAUAUUUAAGGAUAUCAAAAAUACAUUUAAAAAAUAUCACACUUCUACCACUUUUAAUGGUAAAUUUUACCAUAUAUUUAAGUACAAAAAAUAGCAAAUAAAAUAAAAAUACGUUAAACCAUAAAUAAAAUAUAAUGUAAUAUGAUAUUUUUUUUUGAACUUCCAUUAUUGUGGUAUAUUUGCAGUGUACUGUUAUAUUGUUGAAAAAAAAAAUAUUUGAGUAUCAUAAAUUUUAAAUUGAAUUAUUUUACCUAAAUAUUUUAUUCUGUGACGAAUAAUACGAAAAACACUACAUUAUAUAAAUCAUCACUUCACCACCACAUAUGCUUCGUAAAAAAAAAAAAAAAAAGCGUUUUAUUAUCUUUUUUUUCAACAAUAUAUAUUUACAAAACAUAAAAAUACAAAUUAUUUAGACUUGUGAACUAGUAUAAUUUUUAGAAUAUGCAUAUUUUGCACUUUAUAAACUAUAGAAAAAUAAAAUACAAUAUAUUAUUUAUUUAUUUAUAAUUUUUAUUAUUUUUUAUAGACUAAUAUUUUUAGAAUUAUAAAGUGAUAAAGUAAAAAUGUGCUAUAUAAAAAGGUUAUAUUAAUUACAAGCUAGUUUAUAAAAAUAAAAAAGAAAAAAAGGAAAAUAAAAAAGAGCACAAAUCCUAGAACUAAAAAAUUUCGUGGGAAACCAAAACCCAUCUCACCUAUUCUCUUCUCAGUUCUCACUCCCUUUUCUUAUUACAACAACUCACUCAUCGUCCCCGGCUCCGGCGAUUCCUCCGCCGCGUGCGCCGGCGACCCCGCCGGAGUAUAAAACGGCGUCUCCCCCUCCUCCUCCUCCUCCUCCUCCUCCUCGGUAAUCGUGUACAAAACCCUAGUCGUCGCCGCCGCGCCGAACCACAUGGCGCGCCACGCGCCCACAUCGCACUCCUCCUCGUCCUCCUCCGGCUCCGGCUCCGGCUCCCGCGGCGGCGGAGGGGGGGGAGGGGGUGGCUUCGCGGCGGCGGCGGCGGCGGAGGCGGAGGAGGUGGAGGGCUCGAUUCGGGUGGGGUUUUUCCAGCAGAGGAGGCGGAGGAGGAGCUUGGGCGUGGCCCCGAGCUCGGGAUCGGAGGAGGGGCGGGGGCGGGGGCGACGGCGGCGGAGGAGGAGGAGGAAGAGGAGGUCGGCGGAGAGGGCGAGGAGGGAGAGGGCCGGGAGGAGGCGGAGGAUGGAGAGGAGGGGGUCGUCGGGGAGGUGGGUUAGGGUUAGGGUUAGGGUGGGGCAUGCGCUCCACCAGCUCCACCUCAUCGGCGGCGGAGGCGGCGAUCGGUGGGGGUUGCUCGAUGUCGGGCGAGGAGGGAGAGGGCGAGGGCGAGGGCGAGCGCGACGCCGAGCUUCGCGGCGCCGCUCAUGGCGGAUGGAGGUGAGUGACGAUCGAGAACUAUAGCUAGCUAGCUAGGGUUUCAUUUUCGUCUAUACGUUGUUAUGGCAAAUAAUAAUAAUAAUAAUAAUAAUAAUAAUAAUGAGAAAGGUGAGGGGGUGAAGUGUAAAAAUCUGAGGAGGGAGCAUAAAUGCGAGAGCGGAGGAAGAAGCAGAAGAAGAAGAAGAGCAGCACGGAUUCAUGAAUUUAAAGCGGACACGGGGAACAGAGACAGAGAGAGAGAAAGAGGGGGUACGGGUACGGCCUCUUGUCCGUACCGCUUGGUAACCGGCUAUAGCCGGUGAAGUAAAUAGCCAAUGCCAAUGCCAAUGCCAAUGCCAAUGCGCUCACUGGGUGAACCAGCUUUUUUUUUCUUGCCCCCAUAGGUCCCAUCAUUAUUAUCUCAUAUAUAUGAUAUGAUAAACCUUCCUUUUUCUUUUUCUUUUUUUCUUUUUUUUCUUUUUUUAUAUCUAAAGCCCUUUUAUUUGAAUGUUAAAUAUAAUUUUUUAUUUGUGAGACUCCAGUUAGCCCUAUAUAUUAGCAGAAUAUUAUAGGGCUAAAAAUUCUUAACUCGGUUAUAUAUAGUAUUUUGGACAAUGGCUAAACCUGAGAGGUUGAGAGAAUUAAGCGUGAUAAGAUUAAGGCAACCGUAGAAUGGAUGACUCCCUGAAAAGUAGGGUAUCAUAGUUGGUAUCAGAGUCAAUUAUCAAUCGAAAGUACGAAAUGAGUCUCGGCUGAGCCAGAGUUAUAUAGCGGAGAGAGCGAGACUCUCAUACCGUUGACUGUUGUGGGUGGAGUGUGGCUUCUCCACAAGUAUCGGUUAAGACUAGCGAAACGAGUCUCACAUUGUCUAAUACUUAUGAAUUUGAGUCUGACUAGGACGUCGGGACUUAAAGGAGAAGGAGAAUGUGAGACCCCUUGUAGUCCCAUACAUAGGACAUAAUAGGGCUAAAGGAUCUUAACCUGUCUAUAGUAUUUUGGACGGUGACUAGAUUCGAGAGGUUAAGAGAGUUAAGUGUAUUAGGGUUAAAGCAGUCCUAAAAUAGAUGAACCUCGGAAAAGUGGAGUGUCACAUUAUUAAAGAAAUGCUUUUAAUUUCUCACUUAUAUGCACCUAAAAAUGCUACAUUUACACAUGAUUUAAGAUUUAAUAUUUAAUUAUAAUAUACUUAUUAAGAUUUAAUCAUAAUAUUGCCAUCUUAUUAAUAAUAAUACCCUAGUAGGAACAUGAUACAGAUAUAAUGGGAAGUAGAAAUUUUAGUUUUUACUAUUUCAAAAAUUUUGACAUUCAUAAUUUAAUUGAAUUGUUGGUUUUACUGAGGUGAUUUAUUUUAUUUCAAAAAGGAGAAAAUAAAAAAGCUCCAAUGUUGGAGCUUUUUCAAAAUGCACUGCGAUGCAGCUCACCCAUAAUAUUUUGUUCUAAAUAUUUGAUCAAACUUUGUAUCCAUUAAAUACUAUUCUGAAUGAUAAUUUAUUUGGUAAUGUGAUAGAAAUAAGGAGUUUAAUUUAUGCUUCGUGAAAGUCUUGGCGUCAAUGACUUAAUGGGAUUAUAUAAUUCAUAUCAAAAAUAAAUAUGAUAUACAAAUUUAGGUAUUUGAUCGCACUCCUUAUCUACCAAAUAUUAUAUAUAUAAUAAUUCAUGAGUAAAUAAAAUAAAUAAAAUAAAAUAUUCACGCAUUCAAAUAUGUUUUAAGUUUUCAUAGCCUCAAAUUCGAGUUUCUGAAUUUCUGAGUUUAACGUAAACUUUUAUAGAAAAUGAUGUAAAAUAGUCCGCAUAUGCAAUUCUAUAUUAUCUCAAUAUUAGAGAAUCAUAAUAUGAUAGAGAGAAGAGACCGGUUCACGGUGGACCACGGUCCACGCAACAGUUUCUCCAAGAAGAAGCCGUGGGAGAUGGUUUUUAAUGGGGACAAAAUAUAUAUAUAUAUAUAUAUAUAUAUAUAUAUAGAGUGAGGCUGCUAUGCUAUCGGAAGCACGGAGCCUUCCGUGCUUCCAGCUCGUUUUCGAUGUUGCGACUUUCGAAUCGUCGAUCGGCUCCGGUAAACUUGAUCUAGAGUAUUUGAAGUACCUAGAAAAUAAAUUUUAUGAUUUUACGAUAUCAUUUGCCUAGUGAACGAAGGGGCUCAAAAUCAACGGCUGAAAAUAAAAAUCUUACAAAAUGUAAUAAUAUGACAUUAAAAUUUUAAAUCAAAGAUAUUGAUCUUGUUUUAUAUAGUAUAAAGAAUUUUCUAUCAAAAUUUCACGUGAUUUGGAUAUUUCUACACCGUUAAACUUGCAAACGGCUCACUACGGCCAUUGAAAUUUGUUGAUUUUGAGCCCAUUCGAUCACUAGGCAAAUGAUAUCGAAAAAUAAUAAAAUUUAUUUUCUAGGUACUCCAAAUACUCUAGAUCAAGUUUAACGGAGCCGAUCGACGAUUCGAAAGUCGCAACAUCGAAAACGAGCUGGAAGUACGGAAAGCUCCGUGCUUCCGAUAGCAUAGUAGCCUCACUCACUCUCUCUCUCUCUCUCUCUCUCUCUCUCUAUAUAUAUAUAUAUAUAUAAAGAAAAAGAAAAACUAAAAUACAAAAAAUUUAUCAAUAACUAUUGCUUUUUAACUUUUUAUUUUUCCAUAACUUUUAAAAAUGUAUAUUUUAACCUCUCAAAAUUUUAAAUUGUUGUAUUUUAGCCUAGCUUUAUCAAGAUUCUGUUACUGUUCCGUUUAUUUCUUAUAAUUUUUAAUUAGGUGCAUGAAAAAUUUCAUUGAAAAUAAAAGAAAUUUUAUAUAUUUUUUU